This 54800-nucleotide long non-coding RNA is filed under the name Gossypium barbadense (sea-island cotton). RNAcentral describes it as "long non-coding RNA (GBAR_LNC009702)". Lineage: Eukaryota; Viridiplantae; Streptophyta; Magnoliopsida; Malvales; Malvaceae. The record is from RNAcentral.
CAGAUUUGGGAACACAUCAGCAGGUGGUUUAUGGUAUGUUUUGAGUUACAUGGAAGCUAAGAAGAGGUUGAAGAAAGGUGAUAAGAUUUUCAUGGUGAGCCUUGGAGCUGGAUUCAUGUGCAACAACUGUGUGUGGGAAGUAAUGAAGGAUGGUUUGGAUGAUACUAGGGUUUGGGAAGAUUGCAUUGAUGAGUACCCUAGAAAAAACCUGGUCAAUCCCUUCACUGAGAAGUAUAGUUGGAUUAAUGAUGAGUGCUUGAACUUUGUCAGGCUUGACUAGGGAAGGUUUUAUUAACAAUUUAUAACCUUUUUUUAAUUAUUAUUUCGUUUUUAAUUAUCUUAAAAAUUACUAAAGAGGGUGAUGCCACUGAAUCAGAAAAAUGUUUGAAUGUCAAAAUUAUGAUAGCAAUUUGUCGGUUGUGCCCAUAUGUGAUAAUUUAAGUGAGUGUAUGUAUAGUUGUGUGACUUUAAAAGCUUAACAGUGAUAUUAAGCCAUGGUAAACCAUGUAAGACCAUAGAAGCUAGAAAGUUGCAAUUGGUUGUCCAUGGCAAAUAUGAAAGUUAUCUCUGGUGCUUAUAAAUUCAUGUUAAGUUUUGACACUUUUUGUACUUUUUUUUUAUGGUGGAUAAAGGAUUCGAUUUUUAUUAUUAAAUAGAUUAAUUUAAUUCCUAUAUUAUUAAAAAGAAUUAAAUUAAAUUAAAUUUUAGCAAAGUUAACAUUUACUGUUUAAAGGACAUACAAUUAUUUUUUUUCUUUUGUAGUUUAACUACAAAUGAAGAUUUCAUUUGCAAUAGGAUUGAGUAAGAAAAACAACUCAAAUCGAGGUGUUUGAACAGUUUAUAAAAAAUAAAUUAAAAAAUUGUGAUUAAAUGAACCAAACAAAAUUCUAUUUAAUAUAUAAUUAAAUUAUUUUUUAUGAUGCAAAAAAUUAUUUUAUAUUUAAAAUAGCGAGAAUAAUUUAAAAUUUUCAUAUAAGAGUUAUUGAUUUUUUUAUUUGCUUAAAAAAUUAUUACUUUUUAGAAAUACUCAUAAAAAGGACUUUGGAUUUUUAUAAAUUAAUGUUUAAAUAUCAUAAAACAAAACUCAUAUUUUUAAAAAUAAGUCAAAAAACUCAAAACUCAAAAGUAGCAUGAAAAAUUGAGAAUGGAACCGAAUUAUAAUGGACGGUUCAAAAAAUCCGAAAUACUCAAUCGAAUAGAGCAAAGCUCAUCCCGAAUUUAUGGAACCAUUAAAAAAAUUCAAAAUACUAACUCUCUUAAAAAGUAAAUUUUAUAUUUUCUAAAACAAUAAAUGUUAAUUCCUUUAAAAUUUGACCUCAUUUUGAUUCUUUUUAAUAGUAGAAUGACUAAAUUGACCCAUUUUAAUAAUAGAGGAAUUAAUUUGAUCAAAACCCUAUAAUAGAGGAACUUGUUAAAUACAUUACUAAUAAAUUAAAAAAGCCCUUAAACUAAUUUUUGUACUUAAUUAAGCUCCUAUCCUAUUAUUUUAUCCAUAAAAGUCAUUGAUUUUAAUAUUAAAGUAAAAUUAUUUUGACUUUUUAAAUUAAUUUGCAUUUUAUGUUGAUAUGAUGUGAAUAUGAUGAGAAUAAUUUAUUAAAUAAAAAUAAAAUAAUAGUUUAUUUUUUAGUUUUCUUCAUGUCUGUUUUACAACUCAUGUUCAGGAUUUGUGACUGCCCCUCCCAAUAAUUUCUUCUCCAAGGUUUGAACCUAUAUCUCCUCUUGAAAGUACAAUGUACUUUUCCAUUGCACCUAAACUUAUCAGUAUAAAAUAAUAAUUUUGAAAGUAAAAUAAAAUAUUAUUUUAAAUUUUCUUGAAAAUGUUUAAAUAGAUAUAUAACACAUUUAAUCACUUUUUUCUAAAACUUACACCCUUUUUUAAAUUUUGCAAAAACAUAUUUUUCAUAAGGACAUUUUCAAAUAUUUUGUAGAGUAAUUGCAUCAAUUAUAUAAUUUUUUUUAAAAAAAUUAAAAGUAAUAUUUUUAUAUUUUUUUUGUAGGGGACCCCACAAUAACGGAAGUAAAUUUCUUUUUUAGGUAUUGAAUCAAGUAAGAAUCCUGGUGUCACAUCACGGAUUUCUAAUUUAUAAAAUUGUAAAAUUAUAGUAAAAUUGAGUAUCCGACCUAGUGAUUAAGAGUUAGUGAAAUUAUCUUCAAGAUUUGAGGUUGAUUCUCUUCACUUACAAAUUCUUUUUCUUUUAAAUCAUGUGUCGUCCACCCCUAACAAAUUGUCAGAUUUUAGUCUGACUCAAACACUUUCAUUUUUUUUCUCUUCUUUUCCCCUAUUGUCGUCCCCUUCCAUUCUAUUUUCUCUUAAUUUUCCUUUCUUUUCUCCCUUUUUCUUCUCUUAUUUUCUCUUCACCCUUGUGCCGCCCCUUUGUGUUCUGUUCUUCUUCUUUUUUUCUUCUUGCCGAAUUACUGAUUACUUUGGCCAAAUUCCUCUAUACUGCUCAAACUAGUGAUUUUAUUAAACCAAAAGUAACUGUGCUAAGUUUUUGGAAAAUUUGAUUAAAAUGGUGAUUUUUAGACCGAACAUUUUUAGUUGAUCAUUCAGGUGGCUAAUAUAACCUUCAAGAUUCAGCUAUAAUGUCUAGGCCGAAUUUGAGAAGUUACACCUGAAAUUAACAUUGUUAAAAGGAUUUUACUUAAACACCACCUUUGAUCCAAAUAAAAUUAAACUAAUAUCGUAAAAUGGAUAAAAAUACUUAUAAUUUUAAAAAAAAAAUAAUAACACUUUCAAACAGAUAAGAAAAAUAGGUUGGGAUUUGUCAACGUUGAUAGUACUGCAAACACAUUUUACAUGUGUUUAAAAUCAAAGAAUGACAAAAUCAAUCAAUUUAUUAAAUUGAUGGAACCCAUCUCUAAGCUUGCGGUUCUUUUAUUGCUCAUGAGUUUGAUUAGAUUUUUUUUUUCAGUCUUAUAUUUUAUUCAAUUUCUCUUAAAUAUUGAAUAGACGUUUAAACUUAGAUGAAUCAACAAUGUCUUUACUCUCUUACCACCAUUUUUUUUAAUUAUAUUGAAUUUUUUUUAUUAUUUAUACCGAUUGAAAUUGUCAAAAAUUUAUAGGGAUAAACUAUAGUCAAGUGGCUAAAUUAUUAAUAAGUUUACAUAUUGGUUAUUCAACUUCAAAAGGUUACAUAAUGGUCUUUGAACUUUUGAAAGUUUUCAUUGAAGUUAUUAAACUAUUCAAAAGUUUUUAUUUAAGUCAUGUGGUUUCUAAGGGUUUUAUUUUAAGAGCAAGCUUUAAAUACCGAUUUGACGAUCAGUAUGGUGAAUCAAUACCCAUUGACAAGUACAAGAACAUGCCUUAGAUCUAAGUCGAUCUAUCAAUUAGUGUCGGAGAUCGGAGAAUAAAACUGUUUGGAUUUUGGUUUUUAGAUUUGUGAUGUUCAAAGUUGUUUUAUGAAAAAGAAAACUAAAUUGUAGAAGAUAAGAGAAAGAGAGCUUCCAAUUGUUGCAAACAUAGAAAGAUAUAAAGUAGCAGCAAUUUUAAUAGUUUAGUGACUUAAAUGAAAACUUACAAAUAGUUAAAGGACUAUUUUAUAAUUUUGUGAUCGAGACAUAAAUUUACUAAUACUUUACUAACCUUAAAUGUAGUUUAUCCAAUUUAUAAUCGAAUAGAUCUUUCUCUAUUAUCAACUAAAAACUUUAUCAACUAGAUCAAUUCAUAUUGAUGAAUCAAUAUUACAGAUUUUGGAUAUUAGAAAACAAAACACAAUGAUCCGAAACUGACUAAGAAGUACAUUUGAUAUAUGUAAACCCAAUAUGCCCAUAUUUAUUUUAUCUAAAUAAAAUUAUUUUUUUAAAAAAAUAUUAUUAAUAAUAAUCAUGAACAAUAAUAAUACAAAAACAUGAGGUAUAGUAUAAACAGGUAAACAAAUCAUUAUAAAAAUACAAAAAUGUCAUGCUUGCAGAAUAAUUUUAAACAAAAAUAACAAAUUGAUAGCAACUACAAUACUCAAACAAUUCAGAAACAGACUAGAAAUGCAUCAACUUAAUCAAAUCGUUGCAAUUUGCAUCCUAAUCUCGUCAUCAUCAAAUCAACAUGAUGAUUAAUACUGCUCAACUAAGAAAAAAUUGUCAAAAGCCUCAAGACACCAACUACAUUUGUGAUGCACAAAAGGCAAGUCACAAAUUGUCUAUCAUUAUCAUCAUCUCGAAUCUAUCAUCAUCAUUAUGAUCUAUCAUGAUAAAAUUUUUUGAAAAUGAUUCUUAAUAGAUCUGACGGUAUCCUUAUAUAGACAAAUCUCAUCUAUACGCCAAAACAUGAUUAAAAAUUAAAAGUAAAAAUAAAACAUCUACUUUCAAAAAAACAAAUUAGAUAAAACAAAAACCACAAAAUUGUGAAUAAAACCCGUGUAUUUAAAUUUAAAACAGAGCAAAAUUAAAAAAAGAAUGUUGCAGAACCGCUACUAGCUCGAAAGCUAACGUUGAAGAAUUAAAGAUUUUUCUAUGAAAAAAUAUUUUUUAAUUUUUCUUUAUGCAUAAUUAUUUAUUAAAUAAAAUUAUCAUUUAACUACAAUUUUAAAAACUUGUGAUGCAUACUACAAAGAAAUUUAUGGUGUAAAUUUUUUUUUAACACCUUUUAUGACUUAGAGACCGUCCUGUAAGGAUUUCCCAAUUAUAAAUCAUAAGCUAUUUGACAUCAAAUAUGGGAUCGAAAAGUAUAACAUAAUUAUCAUAAUUAGCAUGAUAAAUUAUUAUGGAUGGAUAUAAAGCUUUUUGCACAGCAAAUUUUCUAUUUCCAACCUCUAAAAAUUAGAACAUAUGAAGACAUGUUUAUACUAUUCCUUUUAUGAAGAUCUUCAUUAAAUUAUUUAUAUAUAUAACAUUUAUGAAUUUUGUUUUAAAGGUUUCAUUAUUUUAUUUUUUUAAUUAAAUUAAUAUCUUAUUUAUUCGUGACGUGAAAUUAAUAAAAUAAAUAAAUAAUAAUAUAAAUAUAAUAGCAUUCCCAAUUAAUUGAUGUUCAACAAUAUUUCUUAAUAAGAUGUUAACAAAAGUUAUAUGUCGUAAUCAUUUUUUUGAAAAAAUGGGGUUGACUUUGGUUUUGGAAAAUGAAAGAACGAGGAGAGUCGCCACCAAUCCUUUUUGAUGAGGUGUGAUCGGGUCACCUUAAAUUAAUCAUUUUAAUAAAAUUUAAGAUUUAUUAAAACAAUAAUUUUUGUUUUUUAUAUGUUUUAGCACACUCGAACCCACGUCCUUCUGCACUGGUAAUAAUAUCAAUACCAAUCAAGCUAAAAUUCAAUUAACAUUUUUACCUCAACAUAAUCCAAUUCUAGCUUAGCCUGAAAUUAGAUAUUAAUUUUUCUGUCUUGAAUUCGACUUGAAAAAUUAAAGCUACACUCAAAUCCGACCCGAUGUAAUAUGCCACAAUUUCAAUUUUUUUUUACAUUUUAUCAUAAUAGAAUAAUAAUUUUAUUAUUUUUUAAUAAUGCUAUUAAUUAUUUUUAAGUACAAUUAUAUUAGCGCAAAUAUUAAUAUAAAUUUUAUUAUAUAUUUUAAAUUAAUAUUGUAUAUAUAUAAAAAGGACUUGAUUAAUUAAAAAAUUGAUAAUUUUCUUGGAAUGGGCAGGUUUUCUUAAACCGGACUUGAUUAAUUAAAAAAAUUAAAUCCAUCUCCAAACCCGAUUUCAAAACUAAAAAAUCCCAACCCUAUAGGAUCGGGUCAGUUUGCAACCUAUCGGGUACAAGUUUUUCCAUCCGAAUAACCCAAUUGAAGACUAUAAAUAGACAGAUCUUGAUCUCAUAUACAAACAUCCCAUCCCCAUCGCAUUCUCUAAGCUUUUCAAUGGAGAUUUUAAUGAAAAUAUGUCUCCUAUUCCUUUGUAGCUUCAUUUCUUACGUUUUUAACAUGUUUUUUUAGAAGAGAAAUCAACAUUGCUAUAUGUUGGGUUACGAGUGUUUCAAGGCUGCCGAUGACAAAAAGCUCGACACUGGUGCCUUUAUGAGAGUUGUGAUAAGGAACAAGAAACUUGGACUGGACCAAUAGUGGUUUCUUUUAAAGACCAUUGUUAGUUCUGGUCUUGGUAAAGAAACUUAUGGUCCAAGGAAUGUUGUUGAUGGUAGAGAAGAAUUUCCUUCGGAAAACGAUGCACAUGCUUAGAUAGACGAGAUCAUGUUUAACACUAUCGAUAAUCUAUUCGAGAAAACAGGAGUUUCUCCAUCCAAAAUCGACAUACUCGUCAUCAAUAUCUCGUUGUUUUCACCUGCACCAUCAUUAACAUCCCGGAUUAUAAAUAGGUACAAGAUGAGGGACAACAUUAAGUCCUUCAGUCUCUCCGGAAUGGGAUGUAGUGCAAGCAUGGUUGCAAUCGAUCUGGUGCAAUAGUUGUUCAAGACAUACAAGAACCAGUUCGCCAUCGUUGUGAGCACCAAAUCAAUCACUAGGCAUUGGUACUACGAAAAAGAGAAAUUGAUGAUGUUAUCGAAUUGUCUGUUUCGUAACGGAGGCUAUUCGAUCCUCUUAACAAACAAAAGGGAUUUGAAGGAUCGAUGCCUAUUGAAUUUGAAAUGUGCCGUAAUAACCAAUAUUGGAUACGAUGACUAUGAAAAAAAAAUAAAGAACACACAAAUUUUACGUGGAAACCCUUUCGGGAAAAAAACCACUGGUAGAGGAGAAGAAAACUCACUAUGUAAAAUUCGAAUUAAUUACAAGAGGAAUAGACUAUGUCUAUUUAUAGGCUUGUAAAGCCAUAUUCUAGUAAGACUGAAACACCUUAUUCUAAUCAAUAUAAAAUAGAUGGAGUUUAAUAAGGUUUAAAAAACCUUAUUCUAAAAUAAAAUAAAAGAAGUGUAAUUCUAUAUGGAUUUUACUUUUAUUUUAGUUUACCACUAUAUUUUAUUUAAAUAAAGAUUCGGGUCAUUUAAUUCUAACAAUCUCCACCUUGACACGAAUUCUUAAUGAACAAAUUCUUAACGAACAAGUUCUCCACCUCUUCCAUAAAACCCCUUAAGGAUUUAACUUCAACAAUGAACACCAACCAAGUCUAAACAAUGCUCAAACCUGGUUAUAGGAAGUGACUUAGUCAUCAUAUCAGUAGGAUUUUCAUGAAUACUAAUUUUGCUCACAACAAUAUCACCAUGAGCAAUAAUAUCACGAAUAAAAUGAUACCGAACAUCAAUGUGUUUUGUUCUCUCAUGAAACAUUUGAUCUUUUGUAAGGAAGAUUGCACUCUGACUGUUAUAAAAUAUUGUACUGAUUUGAAGGUCUUCAUUGAGUUCAUUAAAGAGUCCCUUCAACUAAACAGCUUCUUUACAAGCCUCAGCCAUCGCCAUGUACUCAGCUUCACUGGUAGACAAAGAGACUGUAGUUUGCAAAGUGGCUUUCCAACUAAUUACACAACCUCCGGUUGUAAAGACAUAACCUGUGAGAGAUCUUUUUCUAUCAAUGUCUCCAGUAAAUCAGCAUCAACAUACCCAAUGACUCCAUCUCUAGUUCUUCCAAACUAUAAGCAAACAUCAAUAGUACCUUGUAAGUAUCUUAAAAUCCACUGAACUAUUUUCCAGUGUUUUUUGCAGGGAUUCGCCAUGUAUCUGCUAACUGCAUUGACUACAUAUGAUAAAUUUAGACUUGAACAAACCAUAGCAUACAUGAGAGAUCCCACUGCACUGAAGUAUGGAACAUGUGACAUGUACUCAAUCUCAUCAUCUGAUUGUGGAGACAAAGCCGAUGAAAGUUUGAGAUGGGCUGCUAAAAGAGUACUAACAAGCUUAGCACUCUGCAUAUUGAACCUACAAAGAACUUUCUCAAUGUACCCCUUCUGACUUAGGUACAAUUUACUUGUUUUUCUAUCUCUAAGAAUCUCCAUUCCAAGUAUCUUCUUUGUUGGUCCUAAAUCUUUCAUCUCAAAUUUUUCACUUAGUUGGGCUUUGACCUUUCUUAUCUCUCCUUUAUCUUUUGCUGCUAUCAACAUGUCAUCAACAUAAAGAAGUAGAUACCCGAAAGAACCAUCACUGUUUUUCUUAAAGUAAACACAACUGUCAAAACUACUUCUUUUGAAAUUAUGAGAAGUCACAAAGGAGUCAAACCUCUUGUACCACUAUCUUGGUGACUGUUUCAAACCGUAAAGGGACUCUUUCAGCAAGCAAACAAAGUCCUCUUUUUCUGAGAUUGUAAAACCCUCUGGUUAUUGCAUGUAAAUGUCCUCCUCAAGUUCUCCAUGCAAAAAUGCAGUUUUUACAUCUAACUGCUCAAGCUCCAAAUCAUGUACGACCACAAUACCAAGCAAAAAUCGAAUCGAACUAUGCUUCACAACUGGGAAGAACACAUCUAUAAAGUCCACUCCUGGAAUUUGACUGUAACCCUUUGCAACAAGCCUUACUUUAUAUUUAGGUUCUUCAACUCCUGGAGUCCCUUCUUUCUUUUUAAACACCCAUUUACAACGAACAACCUUUUUACUUUUAGGAAGUUUCACAAGUUCCCAUGUUCUGUUUUUGUGUAGUGAUUACAUCUCUUCUUGCAUAGCAAACAUCCACUUUUCUGAGUCUUCAUAGCUAACUGUCUCAGAAUAAUUAGAUGGCUCUCGGUUUGCAUCUAUAUCUUCAGUCACAUUUAAAGCAUAAACAACUCGAUCAGCCUCGGCAUACUUCUUUGGAGGUUUAAUUUCUCUUCUAGUUCUGUUUUUGGUAAUAGAGUAUUGUGGUGAAGAAGCAACUCUAUUCUCAAUUUUUGUACUAGCUUGAGGAGUCGACUCUGCAUUAAUCUGAUGCUCCACCUGCUUUUGAUUUUCUUUAUUGGAAGAGCCUUUAAGAGAUAAGUUAGGUAGUGUAGCAUUUUCAUCAAAAACGACAUCUAUGCUAAUCACAACUUUUCUAUUUUCAGGACACCAUAACUUAUACCCUUUUACACCAGCUUUAUAACCAAGAAAAACACAUUUAAUAGAUCUCGGUUCUAAUUUUCCAUUAUCAACGUGAGCAUACGCAGGACACCCAAAGAUCUUUAAGUCAGAGUAAUUAGCCGGAUUACCAGACCAUACCUCUUGUGGAGUAUUUUUCUCAAUGGCAACGGAUAGGGAUCGGUUGAUCAAAAAACAUACAGUAGAGGCUGCUUCUGCCCAAAAUGACUUCUGUAAGUUGGCAUUUGACAACAUACAUCGAACCUUCUCCAUGAUCAUUCUGUUCAUUCGUUCUGCAAUACCGUUUUGCUGUGGAGUAUGACGAACUGUCAAGUGUCUCACAUCCUUUCUGACUUGCACAGUCUAUUAAACUUAUCAGAAUAGAACUCUAGGCCAUUGUCUGUGCGGAGGUAUUUUAUUUGUUUUCCCGUCUGUUUUUCAAUCAUAAUUUUCCAAGACUUAAAUGUGAAAAACACAUUGCUUUUUUGCUUCAAGAAGAACGCCCAAACUUUUCUGGAAAAAUCAUCAAUAAAGGUUAAGAUAUAAUUAGCUCCACCUCUCGAAGGCACUCUGGAUGUCCUCCACAUAUCAGAAUGAAUAUACUCCAACGUUCCCUUCGUGUUAUGGAUUCCUCUGGUGAAUCAAACUCUCUUUUUCUUCCCAAAAACACAGUGUUCACAGAAAUUCAGUUUGCAAAUUCCUUGUCCAUCAAGAAGUCCUCUUUUACUCAAUUCUUCCAUGCCAUUAUCACUCAUAUGCCCUAGACGCAUAUGCCAAAUUUUAGUAAUAUCAUCAUCAAAUAAGAAAGAGGAAGCGACAGCUACAUCACCAGUAAUAGUAGAACCCUGCAAAACAUAUAACUUGGUAGUUUUUCUCUGCCUUUUCAUUACAACAAGGGAACCUUUGGAAAUCUUUAAAACUCUACUUUCAGUUGUGUAUCUGUACCCUUUUGAAUCAAGAGUACUCAACUAAAGUAAAUUUCUCUUCAAUUCUGGAACAUGUCGUACGUUACUAAGUGUUCUGACAACUCCAUCAAACAUCUUAACUUUAAUUGUUCCGACACCUACGAUUUUACAUGAAGAAUUAUUUCUCAUCAAAACAACACCUUUAGACAUUGUUUCGUAAGUUGUAAACCAGUCCUGAUUAGGACUCAUGUGAAAGGUGCAGCCUGAAUAAAGUAUCCACUCCUCGUUUACUUUAGAAUUGUUGACAGAAGCCUGCAAAAUAUAUAACUUGGUAGUUUUUCUCUACUGUAACAGCCAAAUUUUUCAGUGGUAUCAGAAAACAGUGAUUCGAGAUUACAAAAUCCAAUGAGUAAGUUUAGAAAUUUUAAUAAAUAAUAAUUAUGGGCCAAGCGCGAAUUUAAAAGAAUUUUUGAAUUAGUGAAUUUUGCGAUUUUAAAAAAUUAAUCAGGUAAAUUGGGUUGAAAACGAGGUAUCGAGACCUAAAAUUCAUAAACCGAGCCAUAAAUAUUUUUAGAAAUAUUUAUGGAGUGUUAGUAAGUCAGUAUUAAAGUUUCGUCAAGAAAUUUUAAGGUUUUGGUAGUCAAAAAGGACUAAAUUGAAUUAAGUGCAAAAUUACGAAAUGUGAUUAAAUAGCUCUAGUAAUAAUUAAAGGAGGACUAAAUAGGCAAUUAAACACCGAUUAUUGGGCUGACGACAUGUGUGUGCAGGAAAAAUAAAAAUCAAGUGUGAACAAGGGGCAAAAUUGGAAAUUUUGCAAAUUAAGCAUAUAAAACAAGACAAAAUUGAAAAAUCUAGAGAUAUCAUCAUUCUUCUUCAGCAAAAACGCCAUGGGAGGUCUGAAAGUUGCUGUUUUUCAUAGUUUGACAUAUGUGAGUUCAAUUUUUGCCCUUUUCUUUGAGAUUUUUAUGUUUUUGUGACUUUUACAAUUAGGUCCAAGUGUUUAAUUCAUUAGUUUUUGAUUUUAUGGACAAAAUUGAAAGCUACCAUUGAUAAGUGUUGGCUGUUUAUGAUUAACUAAAAUAGAUUUGAAGCUUUUACUUUGUUGUUUGAUGAUUUUAUCAACUAAUUUCAAUAGAAAUUGAUUUUAGAACCUAAUUGUGAAAAAGUUGUGAAUUAAGGUUUAGUGUUGAAAUUCUGAUUUUUAAAGGUUGUGUAAUAGUUUAGAAUGAUGGAAUAAAAUGUUAAUUGAGAAAAAUUAGCUUAAGUGAUGGGCUAAUUAAGCAAGGACUGAAUUGUAUGACCAGUGAAAUUUAGAGGAAAAAUGGUAAUAAACAUCUUGAACUAAAACAGUUUUGAACAGCAGCAGUAGGUUAACUUUGAAAAAUCACCAUAAAUUUUAUAAAUUGAAUCAAAGGGUGAAAAAAAUAUUUAAUUAAAGCUUAUUGAGUCUAGUUUCUUAUAGAAGAAAUGGUGUAAGCAAUUGAAUUGUAAGUUAUAAGAUAUAAUAUAUUUUGUGAGACAAGGUCAGAAUGAAUUCGGGUUCCCCUGUUCUGACUUUGGAAAAUCACAAAAAUUUGGAGAAAAAUAAUUAGAGGCUAAAAAUUAUAUUUUUAAAAUCCUUAAUGAGUCUAUUUUCAAGAUAAACCAACAAGAACAUUAUCCGAGUUAUGUACUGUGAGAUAAUUAAUUUUAAGUGAAGAGAGGUUAGAACUGUCGGAUAGUGAAACAGGGGAAAAUUUAAUGAAUAAACUGUACUAAUUGGCUAAACCAAAAAUUCUGAAAAUUUUAUGGUGGAAAGAUAUGUGAGUCAAGUUUUAGGUAAAAUUUACGGAUCUUAAUUUGGAUCUCUGUAGCUCAAAUUAAAAAUAAUUUAGUGACUAAGACACGAAUGGACAGCUUUAAAUAAAUUUAUAAGUAAAUAGUGAGAUCAUAGAUAAUGUUACUUAUAAGAAUGCUAUAUAUAUUUAGGAUGUGGAAUGGAGAGGAGGAGGAGGAAAAUAAAUAUAUGAAUUUUCAGUUAGCAAGGGUUUUGUUGGAUUUUUCACACAGGAAAAAAAAACAUAACUAAGUUAUCCGGAUAAAAUAUGAAGCUCUUGUUAAAGCUAGAGCAACAAAGUAAUUAUUCCGGAUGAAAUAUGAAGCUCUUGUUGAAGUUAGAGCAACAAGGUAAUAAUUCCAGAUGAAGUAUGAAGUAAGUUUGAGAUUCAAAGGCUUAGGAGUUGUAACCAAACGAACAGAAGCAAAUGGGAUGAAAAAUUUAGAGAAGUAUUUCAUAUUUCAUCCGGGUAACAUACAUAUUGUUGUUUGUUGCCACCCUUAAUAGGUUUACAUUUAAAAUGGAUAAUUUGUAUGUUUUAGACUCAGGGACUAAAUUGAAUAAAAGGAAAAAACUAUAGGGGCAAUUUUGUAAAAAUGUCAAAAAUGACCAAAAUGAAGGAAAUGAAUUGUUUUAUUAUUUAAAUUAUAAAAUUGAAUGAAACUAUUAAUUUAGAUCAAGAUCGGGUGAAAACAUGUUUUGGGGAUUAAAUUAAAAAGUGUUGAAAUUGUGGAAAAUUUUGUUAUUUUAUAGAAUUUAUGGGUUUUUAUCAAUAUAUAUAAGAAUAAUUAGGUUUGAAACAAGGAUUUAAUUACAAGAACUUUAUUUUUCUUUGUCUAAGGAUGAAAUCGUCAUUAAUCAAAAGUUUAGGGGUAAAAUGAUAAUUUUGCCUAGAGAUUAAUUGAAUGUAUUAGAAUAUGAAAUAAAUAAAAAUGAUGAUCAAAUUUAUUUAUAAAGAUCCGGUGGCUCAAAUAUGAGACUUGAACGUGAAAAAGAAAAAGUUUUCGGAUUAGUAAAACUAUAAAUACGAAUAAGCAAUGAAGUAAGUUCGUGCAACUUGAAUUGAGUUAAUGAAUGUUUAAAUUAUACAUUUAUGUGACAUGAAUGUGAAUUGAAUGUUUAAAUGUAUGUUUUGGGCUUUAAGGGCCCAAUAGAGGGACAUUAUGAUUAUUUUCAGAAUAUGAAUAAUAAAUUAUUCAGAAUUAUCUGAAAAUGCUCAGUAAACUCUGGUAAUGCCUCAUACCCUAUUCCGGCAACGGAUACGGGUAGAAGGUGUUACAUCUGCCCUUUCAUCACAACAAGGGAACCUUUGGAAAUCUUUAAAACUCCACAUUCAGCUGUGUAUCUGUACCCUUUUGAAUCAAGAGUAGUCAACUAAAUUAAAUUUCUGUUCAAUUCUGGAACAUGUCGUACGUCACUAAGUGUUCUGACAACUCCAUCAAACAUCUUAACUUUAAUUGUUCCAACACCUGCGAUUUUACAUGAAGCAUUAUUUCUUAUCAAAACAACACCUUCAGACACUAUUUUGUAAGUUGUAAACUAAUCCCGAUUGGGACUAAUGUGGAAGGUGCAACCUGAAUCAAGUAUCCACUCCUCGUUCACUUUAGAAUUGUUGACAGAAGCGACUAGAAGUUCACCAUUGCUGUAGUCUUCUACAACAUCAACUUCACCAGAAUUUUCUGGUUGUUUUCUCUUUUGAUUCGUAGCCUCUCUUUUAAUCUUGUUCUGUAGCUUAUAGCACUCAGAUUUAAUGUGCUCUUUCUUCUUGCAGAAGUUACAAGUUUUACCUCUGUUUGAAGACUUCGAUCUACCCUUAGAUUUACCGCGAGGAUUUUGUUCCUGUGUCCUUCCAUGAUCAUUAUCAGCAUUCCAAUCUUGUCUCCCACGAACAAUGAGACCUUCUCCCUGAGAGUCGGGUUUAACCACAAGAUGCUUCAUAUUAUCAUACGAGGUCAAAGAAUCAUAAACCUCAUUAACUGUGAGAGACUCGCGGCUAUAUAAAAUAGUGUCUCUAAAGGUUGAGUAAGACGAGGGCAACGAACAAAGUAGAAUCAACCCUAGAUCUUCCUUAUCAUACUGAACCUCCAUGGCCACCAAGUUUGAGAGAAUUUCUUUAAACACUGUUAAGUAUUCGUGUACAGAUGCACCUUCCUCCAAAUGAUGAGCAUAAAGAAGCUGCUCCAUAUGCAACUUGCUUGUUAGAGUUUUCGACAUACAUAUUUGUUCCAGCCUCUUCCAUAAUGCAAUGGCAGUCUUCUCAUUCAUCACAUCCUGUAAAAUUUCAUUGGACAAAUGCAGAUGUAAUUGUGUUAACGUCUUUCGAUCCUUACGCUUCUUCUCUUCAUCUGUUAAUAUCGAAGGCAUCUUAUCUAUCCCUAGCAGGGCAUCCUCCAGAUCUAUCUACGCAAGAACUACUUGCAUCUUAAUCUGCCACAACGCAAAUCUGGUGUUGCGAUCCAACAACGGAAUUUCAUACUUCAAAGACGCCAUUACCGUGAUCGAGAUGAACUACCUGGAAGCUACCAAUUUGUGAAAAUAAAAUAAAAUAAAAACACAUAGAUUUUACGUGGAAACCCUUUCAGGAAAAAAACCUCGAGCAGAGGAGAAGAAAAUUCACUAUGUCAAAUUCGAAUUAAUUACAAUAGGAAUAUACUAUGUCUAUUUAUGACUUUCGUUACGUCUCUAAGCGCUACAAAAAAUGGAGAGAAACUAACAUAUUUAUGUCUAUUUGUGACAUUUUAAAAAUGUCACCAAAAUUUUCAAACAAAACCUUUUGUUUUUCUUAUCAAAGAUAACUAUAGUGACAAAGGUGUCAUGAAAACUGUUACUUUCUGCGACACUUAUAUUUUGAAUAAAAGGGAAUGAAAAGAAAAGAAAAUGUCAUAGAAAAUAUUCAGAACAUAAAUAUCAAAAGCCCCCAAAAGUCAUAAUGUAAAUAAAAUAAUGAAAUGAGCACAAAUACAUAAAGUCCACCUUACAAAAAUUAAAAUCGAAGUACUGAGGUUCAAAUACUAAAACAUAAGGCCAAAAUAAAAAUGAAACUUUUAGUUGAAAUUAAGAUAAAAUCAUACAUAUGAUAUUGAAGAUUGAAGGGUAAAAUCAUGAAAACUAUCAACCAGUUUGCAAUCUAGAGUCGCGUCAGUAACUCAAACAUUAGAUUGAUGAGAUGAGUGAUCAUCAACGUGUUGUGAUGGUAGAAGGGUAAUUGUUCCUGAUGGCAUUUGUGUAGUAACCUUGGCUUGGAGAUCACAAAACUUUUGCCACAAAAUUGGUGGAGGGGGAGUCUCAUUUGUGUAAUCAACUUCUAAAAUCAAUUUUUAUUAGUAUUUAUUAUGACUAAGAUAUCUUUUAUGUCCGUUUUAUGAUUCAUGAAAAUUAAUCUUUUUGAGAACAAAAUUUUCAUUAACAAUCAUAAUUAUAGUACAAACACAAAUAAAUAUAUGAGUAACCAUAACAUAUAAUUAAACUAAUACAAAGUAUAAUGGACGGAAAAUCAGAAAGAAUUGAGUAAUAUCCAUCCAUGGGCAUACACACAUGUUGGGACUAGAGAUCCACAUAUCGUGAACAUGAACACUUAACAAUCUAAGAUAUUUGCCUCAAUCAACAACACAAAGGCAUUAUUGGCCAUAUAUAUAUUGAUUUAACUAAUUCAUAAAUGUCUUGUUUAAGCAGGGGUGAAGUUAGAAUUUUUUAAGGGGUCUUAGGUUAAAUUAUACAUUUUUAUAAGAGUUAAAAUAUGAUUUCACAUUUGUAUUGGUUUAUUUCUUUACGGUUUUUGAAAGAACUAAAUCAAAAUUUAACAUUUUUUAGGGAUCACACUAUAAUUUUACCAUAUAUUAUGAUUUUAUGAAUUUGGGGGGUCUAAUUUGGAGGUCUAAAGCAUAAAUUCUCUUUUUUGGGGGGGGGGGGGUAUAACCUACGUUCCCUGUCUCCCUUGGUUCUAAAAUACAUAUUGGACCACCGAUUAAGUCUUAAUUCAGUUGGCAUCAAUGCUCUUACAACAAUUAAGAAUAUGUAGUUUUAAGUGAAUUUUAAGUGUCUUUUUCCUCCAAUUUAAAGGUGGAAAGGAUUAUGGAUUGAAAUAGUUUUUAUAUUAAAAAAAUUACAUAGGACCAAGGUGUUUUUGUUUUAAUUGAACUGGUUACCCCAGCCAGGUCAGAUUGGGACAUAGUUUUCUUUUUAAUAUAAAUAGACAUAUACCCAAUCCACCAAGAGUAUACCAACUAGUAGAUUUCUCUCAAUUUCUUCACAUUUCUUGCUUUUAUACAUAAACAUCCCAUCUCCAUCACAUUCUCAAGCCUAUUCAAUGGAGUUUUUAAUGAAAAUAUGUCUCCUUUUCCUUUGUGGCCUCAUUUCUCACUUUGUUAACAUGUUUUUCCAGAAGAGAAAUCAGCAAUGCUAUAUGUUGGGUUAUGAAUGUUUCAAGGCUGCCGAUGACAGGAAGCUCGACACUGAUGCGUGCGUGAAAGUUGUGUUGAGGAACAAGAAUCUUGGUCUGGACCAAUACAGGUUUCUUUUAAAAACCAUUGUUAGUUCUGGUCUUGGUGAAGAAACUUAUGGUCCAAGGAAUGUUAUUGAUGGUAGAGAAGAGUUUCCUUCGGAAAACGAUGCACAUGCCGAGAUGGAUGAGAUCAUGUUCAGCACUCUAGACACUCUGUUCGAGAAAACAAGAGUUUCCCCGACGGAAAUCGACAUACUCGUCGUCGAUGUCUCGUUGUUUUCACCAGCACCGUCGUUAACUUCCCGGAUUAUAAACAGGUACAAGAUGAGGGACAACAUUAAGUCCUUCAGUCUCUCGGGAAUGGGAUGUAGUGCAAGCAUGAUUGCAAUCGAUAUGGUGCAGCAGUUGUUCAAGACAUACAAGAACCAGUUCGCCAUCGUUGUGAGCACCGAAUCAAUCGCUAGGCAUUGGUACUGCGGCAAAGAGAAGUCAAUGAUGUUAUCGAAUUGCCUGUUCCGUAACGGUGGGUGUUCAAUCCUCUUAACAAACAAAAGGAACUUGAGAGAUCGAUGCUUGUUGAAGUUAAAGUGUGCCGUAAGAACCAAUAUCGGAUACGAUAACGAAGCAUACGGAUGUUGCAUACAGGUUGAAGAUCCACAAGGUUACCAAGGUUUCCUCCUUACAAAAAACUUAACAAAAGCUGCUGCUAAAGCUUUUACAGGGAAUCUCAAGCUCCUAUUGCCCAAAAUAUUACCAGUUUGGGAACUGCUUCGAUAUGCAAUAUCAACUCUCCGGAAAAAAUCAACCAAAGGCCAAAAUUUAAGUUCCAAUUUAAAUCUCAAGUCUGGGGUUGACCAUUUUUGUCUCCAUCCCGGUGGAAGGGCAGUGAUUGAUGGGCUUGGGAAGAGUUUGGGACUUAGUGAAUAUGACUUAGAGCCAACUAGAAUGGCACUAUACAGAUUUGGAAACACAUCAGCAGGUGGUUUAUGGUAUGUUUUGAGUUACAUGGAAGCUAAGAAGAGGUUGAAGAAAGGUGAUAAGAUUCUUAUGGUGAGCCUUGGAGCUGGGUUCAUGUGCAACAACUGUGUGUGGGAAGUAAUGAAGGAUGGUUUGGAGGAUACUAGGGUUUGGGAAGAUUGCAUUGAUGAGUACCCUAGAAGAGACGUAGUCAAUCCCUUCACUGAGAAGUAUAGUUGGAUCAAGGAUGAGUGCAUGAACUUUGUCAGGAUUAACGGCAGAAUGUUUUAUUAACAAUUUACUUUUUGAAUUAUACCCUUUCUUUUUAAUUUAUUUUGUUUAAAAUUAUCUCAAAAAGUGCUAAAGUGGGUGAUGUCACUGAAUCAGAAAAAUGUUUUGAAGUGUGAAAAUUAUGGGAGCGAUUUGUGGGUUGUGGCCCUAGUAAACCAUGUGAGACCAUAGAAGCUAGUGAGUUGCAAUUGUUUAACUCUUUCUUUCAAUUUCUAACUCUUUUACUCGUUUUUUUUAGAAAAAUUAUUUGAUAUAUCCAUAAAAAUUGGCAUUAUAUCCCAUUUAAGGAAUAAUAAAAAUGUAAAAAAAUAUAUAAAAAAAUAUAUAAAAAGUAAGUAAAAAAAACAUGUGCAGGUAAAAUAUUUUAUUGAAAAUGUAUUAAAUACUAACAUUUUUGGUUACUAAAUAUUUUUUAUCGGUGAAAGUAUUUAUUAACUCCUUCUAUUAUAACCAUUAGAUUAAAUUAAUCUCUCUAUUAUUAAAUAGAUCAAUCUAAUUCUUGUACUAUUGAAAAGAAUCAAAUAAGUUUAAAUUAUAAUAGAGUUAACAUUUGUCGUUUAAUAAAUGACAUCAAAAUUAUUUUUUCUUUUGUAGUUUAACUACAAACAAAAGUUUCAUUUGCAGUAGAGUUGAGCAAGAACCGACCCGAAUUGAGAUAUUUGGACCAUUCAUAAAAUAUAAGUUAAAAAAUUAUGAUUGAAUGAACCAAACCAAAUUCUAUUUAAUUUAUAAUUAAAUUAAUUUUUUAAGAUGUAAAAAAUAUUUUAUAUUUAAAAUAGUGAGAAUAAUUUAAAAUUUCUAUAUAGAAAAUAUUUUUUUAAAAUAUUAUAUAAAAGUUAUUAAAUUUUUUUAGUUUAAGAGUUUUUGAUAUUUCUAUUCGCUUAAAAAAUUAUUAUUUUUUAGAAAUACUCGUAAAUUAUUUUUUAAAAUUUUAUCAAUUAAUGUUAAAAAUUACAAAACAAAACUCAUUUUGUCAAAAAAUGUCAAAAAACCUAAAACUCAAAAAACUCAAAAAAAAAAAACUAAUUUGCGGAACCAUUAAAAAAAAUCAAAAUAUUAACUAUAUUAAAAAGUAAUAUAUAUAUAUUAAACUACAAAAAGUUAACUCCGUUAAAAUUUGACUUUAUUUUUUUUAAUAGUAUAAUGACUAAAUUAACCCAUUUUAAUAGUAGAAGAAUUUAUUUGAUCAGAUCUCUAAUAUAUUUUAAAAAGCCCUUAAACUAUUUUUGCACUUAAAUAAGCUCCUAUCCUAAGAUUUUUACCCAUAAAAGUCAUUGAUUUUAAUAUUAAAGUAAAAUUAUUUUGAAUUUUUAAACUAAUCUAAUAUGAUGUGAAUAAUUUAUUAAAUAAAAAUAAAAUAAUAAUUUUGAAAGUAAAACAAAAUGUUAUUUUAAGUUUUUCUUGAAAAUGCUUAUAUACAUAACACUUAAUCACUCUUUUGAAAAUUUUGGAUAACUCUUUUAAAUUUUAUGUUGAUGUUAUAAUUGUAUAGGAUUUCUAUUAUAUCAACAGAAAAAUUAAGAUAAUAGCCUAAAAUUCAAAAUAAUUCAUUCCUAUGAACUUUUUUUUUUUGAAUAAUUUCAUUAUAGAUUCUAAUCAUAUUUUCUCUUUUUGAUACAAUGCCUAGAAUUACCCAUAACCCCUCCCCAACCCUUAAGUAGGAGAAUAAUACGCUUCAGCAUCCUCGAACCCACGUUUUCUUAUAUUAACAAUAAUGUACAUGCUAAUCGAAUUAAAAUUCAAUCGACAAAAUCAUAGAAUAGGAAAUUACUUAACUAUAAAAAUAAUUGAAGAGCUUGUUUAAACAAAGUGAGAUAGUUUAAUGGGUUUUUUAAUAUAUUACCCUAAAUACAUUCAUAUAUUUUUUUAUCUAUAACAUUUAAAAGAUAAUAUUCGAAUCUAGAACAAAACAAUAGCAUUCAACUAAAAAAUUUAUGAAUCCCAUGUGUUCAUUUACCUGUAUUCUAUGCUUUAUCAGCACAUCUCAGUCUGGCUUGAAGCUAUGGCUAGUUUCUAUUUUUGGUACAUUAAUUAUGGCUGCUGUCUAACUAUUUAACAAUAAAUAACAAUAACCCAGGGACAAUAUAUCCAUUUAAAAUUUUUUAGCAUUCAUGAGUUUAUUAACCAUGCUAUCAUGCACAUUCAUAAUAAUCAAGAAAACAGUAGUACUAAAUUUUCUGCCUCCACACCAUUUAAAUUAUGGUUUCUAAUUGAUCUCAUCUAUUAAAUUAUGCACAAAGUUGUCCCAAACAUAAUUACAAAUUUCUGAAUGGAGGAUGGUUGAUUUGGAGGCAGCUAAGCAAUAGUAAACAUUAUGAUUUAUGGGAUAUGAUGGGGAUAUGUUAUUAAGGUUUUUAAUUGAAUUAAAUUUAUCAAUUUCUUUGUUUAGAACUUAUCAGUUUCAAUACAACUUCUUACUUUUUAGGUUAUUGAAUUUUAAUUAGAUUAUAGUUUUAAUUAUUUUAUGAUGUGUUACUAUUGUGUCGGAUUUAUAUAUUUGUACAAUUUAUAAUUGUAACUUUAUUUAAGAAAAAUAUGUAUUCAUGUCGAUUUGAUUUAGUGGUUCAAUUUAGAGAUAAAUUGUGUUAUUUCUUUGUUUUUAAAGGAAUAGAAGUUUAUACAAAAUUUUACGUGUUAUUAAUAUACUUUGUAUAGACUUUGACUUUUAUUAUAUUUAUAUUGUAUUUGUAUUAUUUUUAUGUACGUAAAUUGACAAGUUUUUAAUGCCUUAAAAUAUUAGUAGUGUCAGAGGUAAAGUUAAUUAGAAAUUUAUUUUAAGGGAGUUGAAAUUUAAUUGUAAUUUUUACUAAUUUAAUUCUUUAUAAUUUUUUAAAAAAAAUUAAAUUAAAAUUUUAUCAUUUUUAGGGAGAUAAAGUGUAAUUUUAUAUUUAUUAAUUUAAAAUUUUUAAAAGGACUAAAUGAAUAAUUUUUUAUUUUAGGAGAGGCUGAAGUCUCUAUUAGUCUCGCUUAGAUAUGCUACUGAGUAGUAUUUUUGCUAUUAAAUUUAGUGAGCUUGAAAAGACAUGUUGAGCCUGUAAAGGCAAUGUCAAGUUUGAAAAGGUGAAUGUGCUUGAUAAGGCUAGAAUGUGCUUGAUAAUUUACUGGCGAGGUAUACAUGGCACGACCUUUAUUCUUGUGCGGCUCAAAAAAAUAUAAGCAAAUUUUUAUAAUAAUAUAUAUUUUACUUCUCAUCAGAGUGUGCCUAAAAAGAAUAGAAUAUGCUCACUCAUUUACCGACAAGGUAUACAUGACAUGACAUUUAUCUCUGUAUGACUCGAAAAAAUAUUAGUAGUUUUUUUAUAAUAAUAUAUAUUUUACCUCUCAUCGAAGUGUGAUUGAAAAUGUUAAAAUGUGCUCACUCAUUUAUCAGUGAAGUAUACAUGAUAUGACAUUUAUCCUUGCACGAAUUAAAAACAUAUCAAUAAAUUUUUUAAUAAUAGAUAUUUUACUUGUCGGCGGAAUGUAUCUGAAAAGUUAUAAUAUGCUUACUCAUUUAUUGAUAAGGUAUACAUGACAUGACAUUUAUCUCUGGGUGGCUUGGGAAAAUAUCAAUAAUUUUACCUUUCGUCAAAGUGUCUUCAAAGUGUCUAAUAUUUGAAUUCAAACUAAUGAGUUAUGGAACCAAAUAAAAAAUUGUCAGUUGACAAGCUCUGUUUUAAGAGGCCAUGACUAGAAAUCUUGAAUGCUUGCGAGAAAAAAAUAUAUAUAUAUACAUAUAGCUCAUACAAGGUAAAUACACAACUGCUCGACGAGAGUGUACACAUACACCUCUCGGGGGUUUACAAACCCAAAAGAGCCGAGGGGUUUAACUGCUCAGGACCCUACAGCACAUGGUAAUCACAUUAUUGCGCGAGUCCCACUGAGAACCCUUCUAUACACUUUAAUUCUUUCAUCAGGGGUUUCUUCUUCUUCUCUUCUUUACCUAAUGCUCCCAUUUUUUCUAUGGAAACUUCACUGUUAGUGUUCAUCAAGCUCCGACCACCACCGUCAGUUCUUAAAUGGGGUGAAUCAACCAACACCACCACAAUAUCUGCCUUGUUUGAUCUUUAAAUCAAAAAAGAGUUGGUUCCCAUUUUGCAUAGUGUCUUUUAUCCCUAAAAUAACAUGAUAAGAAAAGUUGGAAAUUUUACAUCUCAAGUUAAAUUCAUUUAUGUUAUAAAUUUGUGGUUUGCUGUUCUUUAACCCAGAUGAUAAUUACUUCGUUUCUAUAAUAUUGAAAAAAAUAAAUAUUGUCGAAACCAUUUUUUUGAAAAAUGGGGUCGACUUUGGUUUUGAAAAUGGAAACGAAAAUUGAGAGUCGCCCCCAAUUUUUUUUGUUUAGGUGUAAUCGGAUCACCUAGAAAUUUGGUCAUUUUAAUAGAACAUUUCGAUUUACUAAAAUAACAAUUUUGGUCUACGAAAUUUGAGAAAACUGGUUCGGGAGUCGGUUACGUACGAGGAAGGAUUAGCACCCUCGUAACGCCCAAAAUUGGUACCUAAUUGGUUAAUUAAUGUCUUAAUGUCGAAAUUUAAAAACUCGAAAAGAAUUUAGAAUACGAUCCAUCUUUUUAUUAAUGUUAAUUUUACAAAAAUGUUUGAAUAAAUCAAAGCAGAUGCUAAAGACUUUCUUGUCCCGAAGUAAUAAAAUGUCAAAUCCAGUACGUUAGGACACGACAUUUUAAACCCUCGAGAAUGAGCUUGUCUUUUGAUUUUCAAAACUCAUGUAUUUUAAUUUUAAAAGGAUAUUCGAUUAUUUGGUCAAACGAUAAAUCGAAACCCAACACAUUAGGGUACGAUUUCUCGAAUUUCCAAACACGAAAUAUUGUCUUUAUUAAAAACUCAUUUUCUAUAAUUUUGGUGGAAAUUAGUGAAAUGCUAAAAUGAUACAUAAAUAUAUGGUUUAUUUAAUUAUGUUAAAAAAUCAUUUAAAACUUUUAAAAAGGGUCAUUCGCGGCUAAUAAUAAUAGUACAACAAAUAUUUGAAGUGACAAUAAUAUCGCAUAAAAAAAACAAUGUAUAACAUUGGCAUUAACGAACCAUAAUGUCGUCAAACAUAAACAACAACAAAAAUGAUGAUGCAAAUGAUAAUAUGGGGAACAAGAAUAACAAAUAACAAUAACAAAUUCAAAAGAAAAAAAAAUAAAGACAAUAAAUAAAUAAACAAAUAAAUAAGGGUCUAAAUAAAAAUUUAAAAAAAAGCAAAUAAAUAAAAGAAAUAAAAUGUUAAAUAAAACACGUAAAAUGAUAAUGACAAUAAUAAUAAUCUAAAAUUUGAAGGUAUAUAUAAAGAUAUAAAAUAAAUAAAUAAAUAGUAAAAUGAUAAUAAUAGGAAACGAUGAAAAUAAAUAAAACUUAUUUAAAAGAGUAGAUAAAAAAUGAUAUUAAUAAUAUAAUAAAAAAUCUAAAGUUUAAAAAAAACUAUGUAAAAUUAUAUAAAUAAAUAAAAUGAUAAUAACAAGAAUAAAAUGUGUAUAAAAAAAUAAAAGUAAUAUUAAUAUAUAAAUAUAAAUAAAAGUAUAAUGAAUAGAAAUGUAAUAGAAACAUAAAUAAAUAAAUAAAAUUAGAGAAACAGCAAUAACGUUAAAAUAAUAAAAUAAACAUGAAUAUAAAUAUAAUACUAAUUGCAAUAAUAUAAUAAUGACAAUAGUAACAAAAAAAAACAACAACAAUAAUAAUAAUAAUAAUAAUAUCAAUAAUAAUGAAGAUAACAAAUAUGUAAAGAAUGUAAAAAUAAAAUGUAAGCAAUUUAAUUUUAAAUGUGUAUAAAAAUAAAGAAAUGAUAACAACAAGAUAAAUAGAUAAAUAAAUAGUAAUAAUAAUAAUAAUAAUAAUUACAAUGUGAAACAUGCGAAUGACAGAAUAAAUAAUAAUACAAAUUUAAAAUACAAAAUAAACGUAUAAAGAAAUAAAUAAAUGCAUGGAUAUAUGAAUAAACAAAUAAAACAAAACAUAAAAAUCUAUAAAGGUUGAAAUUAAAUGAAUAAAGGGUUAAAUCGAAAUUUGAAAUGAAAUUUAGAGCCUAGAUUAUAAUAAAAAUGACAAAUAAGGACCGAAUCGAAAAUAAAUGAGGUUAAAGGGGAUAAAUCGUGAAAAAUAAAAAAGGAGGGACUAACACUGAACGUGCGAACAAAGUGGAAGGGCCAAAGGGAAAAUAUCCCCGCCCUUCAAAACGCUGCACCUCAUGCAGGAUUUAAAUGAAAUAAAAGUGAAACCAUCUGGCCAAAUUAAAAAAAUAAAGAAAAUUAAAUUGUGGAGUAAUUAAAAGGCAGAAGGACCAAAAGGGUAAAUAGCUUCUUUUGCAGAAACACGUGGAUCCCAUGGUUAAGGGCCGGGUCGACCCGUUUUAUGCAAAAACGACACAGUUUUGGCACUUGAAACCAGGGCCCAAAACGACGUCGUAUGGUCCCCUUAUAAAUGCCAAAUUUUCAACAAAAAAAAAUUCAUUCCUUCAGCCUCUUUAAAGAAAAUGGACCCUCCCCUUUUUUUUCUCUGCUAGGGUUUCAAAAGAAACCCAUCAUCGCCGAACAACCUUGGCUCCACCGUGGACGGUGGUAGGAGCCAUGGCAAGAUCGGACUCGGGUAAGUCCCCAUUCCCUUCCUUUUUCAUUUUUUUUACUUGAAAAUAGAUUUGUAAUAAUAUAUAAAAAGAAAGAAUAGGGAAAGCGAAAAGAAAAAAAGAAGAUAAAAUCAAGAUCAACAUCUUUUUUUAUUUUGCUUUUGAUUUCUGAAAUAUCUGUGAUACAAUCUUUCUUUUUUUUUAGAAAAACCCCCACGUUACAAUCUAUUUUUUGUGGCUUUAUAGCCAAUCUAUUGUUCACUAUUUGCUACUGUUUCUAUCAUUUCUUGCUGCUAUCUUUUGCUUUUGUGUCCUCUUUUCUCACUAUUUGCAAGUCUUCGGAGGUGCAGGUUAUGGGACAGGGCCAGGGAGUGGUUGAUCCUCGAGCGUUGAAUGCGCUGACCAGGCACGUGGGGAGCGGCGUACACUGCUGCUAGGUUUUUUUUUGUUUCUGCUAUUUUUUUAGGGUUAUGGGCUUGUAAAAUUUUGGGCUAGGGUAGUGUUUGGUUUGAUUUAGGCUUGUUUUUAUUAAGGCCAGGUCAAAUUUGGGCAUUUACAGCUGCCCCUCUUUGCUCGUUGUCGUGUAACGAGAAUGAAGCAAAGACUUUAAAAAGGAUCAAAUUUGCCGGGUCUUGUAGAAUCUUGAUCUAUUUGGUGCUUCUCUUCUUCAAGUAGCUUUGUUCUAACCCACUGCAACUUCAGUGAGAUAAGAUUUGCGACAUGGUAAAUUUGAUCCAUCCUACUGCAACUUCAGAGGUAUGGACUUGUAACUCGUUGUUUUUACCUGUUCCAUUGCAACUUCAGGGAAAUAAGGUUUGAGGCUUUAAUCUGUUCUUCUGCAAUUAUAGCUUGAUCUGCUCCAUUGCAACUUCAAGGAGAUAAGAUCUUCUAUCUUUAGUCUGUUUCAUUGCGACUUCAGGGAGAUAAGACUUGUAACUUCAACUUGCCCCGCUGCAACUUCAGGGGGUAAGGUUUGUUUUGAUCUGCUCUACUGCAACUUCAGAGAGAUAAGAUAUAUUUAUUUAUAGCUUCAAUCUGUUCCACUGCAACUUCAGGGAAAUAAGAUUCUCUAUCUUCAGUCUGCUCCACUACAACUUCAGGGAGAUAAGACUUGUGACUUUAACCUGCUUCACUGUAACUUCAGGGAGAUAAGGUUUGUAGUUUUGAUCGCUUCAAUGCCAUUUCAGAGAGAAGAGAUUUGUAGCUUCGAUCUACUCCGCUGAAACUUCAAGGAGAUACAAAUUGUGGCUUUGAGCCGCUCUAGUGCCAUUUCAGGGAAAAGAGAUUUGUAGCUUCGAUCUACUCCGCUGAAACUUCAAGGAGAUCUGCUGUACUUUGAGCCGCUCCAAUGCCAUUUCAGGGAGAAGAGAUUUGUAGCCUCGAUCUACUCCGCUGAAACUUCAAGGAGAUACGGACUGUGGCUUCGAGCCACUCCAAUGCCAUUUCAGGGAGAAGAGAUUUGUAGCAUCGAUCUGUUCCACUACUGCUUAGGGAGAUAAGAUCUGUAAUUCAGCCUGUUACCCUACUGCUUAGGGGGUUAAGUCCCAUCGUCUUCGAUCUGCUCCACUACUGCUUAGGGAGACAAGAUCUAUAAUCUUCAGCUUGUUACCCUAUUACUUAGGGGGUUAAGGCCCAUCGUCUUCGAUCUGCUCCACUACUUCUUAGGGAAACAAGAUUUGUAAUUUAGCCUGUUACCCUACUGCUUAGGGGGUUAAGGCUCACUGUCUUCAAUCUGCUCCACUAUUGCUUAGGGUGACAAGAUCUGUAAUUUAGCCUGUUACCCUACUGCUUAGGGGGUUAAGGCUAACCUUCUUCGAUCUGCUCCACUACUGCUUAGGGAAACAAGAUCUGUAAUUUAGCCUGUUACCCUACUGCUUAGGGGGUUAAGGCUCACUGUCUUCGAUCUGCUCCACUACUUCUUAGGGUGACAAGAUCUGUAAUUCAGCCUAUUACCCUACUGCUUAGGGGGUUAAGGCUAAUCGUCUUCGAUCUGCUCUAUUACUACUUAGGGAGACAAGAUCUGUAAUUCGGCUUGUUACCCUACUGCUUAAGGGGUUAAGGCUCAUCGUGUUCGAUCUGGUCCGCUACUACUUAAGGAGACAAGAUUUGUAAUUCAGCCUGUUACCCUAUUGCUUAGAGGGUUAAGGCUAACCAUCUUCAAUCUGCUCUACUACUGCUUAGGGAGACAAGAUCUAUAAUUCGGCCUGUUACCCUACUGCUUAGGGGGUUAAGGCCCGUCACCUUCGAUCUGUUCCCCUACUACUUAGGGUGAUAAGAUUUGUAAAUUCAGCCUGUUACCCUACUGCUUAGGGGGUUAAGGCCCAUCACCUUCGAUCUGUUCCCCUACUGUUUAGGGUGAUAAGAUUUUACGAAUUCACCUAUGUUGCUACACCAUCCUCUAGGGAUAUGAUCUGUAGAAUCGAUUUCAGGUAUUUAUGCUUAUGCCAAAUAAUUAGGAUGCUAUGAUCGGAAUGAAUCAAAUGCUCCUAACUAGAUGUGAUGCUUGUGUAAAAUAAUUAGGAUGCUAUAAUCGAAAUGAAUCAAAUGCUCUUAACUAGAUAUGUUAUGAAUGAUAUAUGAAUGCAGAAAUGAAAAUGAUCCUUUUUAAAAGGCUUAAGGUAUCAUUGCUCAUUGUUCAUCAGGACAUUAUCACUGACGUAUCACGCUGCCAUUUUGCUCGGCUGGUAUUCAAAAAAAGUCAAAGAAACAAUCACAUUCUGCUCAGCAAGCUUGCCCCGCUGAAAUUUGAGAAUCCCUUCCACUGUUCCUUCUGGGACAUAAAGUUUGUACAUCCCACUGCAACUUCAGGGGAAUAACAUUUGGUUUCUUCCAUCCAUCCUCUUGCAACUCAGAGGUAUAUGAUUUGUAUCAUCUUCAAUCAGUUUGAUCUAUUACACCAUUCCCUGGGUGUAAUGACCAGAUGUAUGUGCCUGAUAUUUGCAUGAAUGGAGAGUAUCAUUUUUUUUCCCGAGAAUGAUCCUCUUUUACCCUUUGGUUGACAUUGCUCGUUUUCGUCGAGAUUGUAUCAUCGACGCGAUGUCUUGUCUUUUUGUUCAACAAAUAAAAAGUCCAAACAGAUAAUCAUCUUUCUCCAAUAUUUCCAACCCUUAAGCUUAGUGAGUUCUAAACAAUAGUCCUGUUUCAGGUUCUUGUAUUAUUUAGAAGCUUCCAGAGUAAUAUGAAGAACUUCUUUUGUAAAUGUAUUUUUGGUCCAUUAAUCAUUAUUUCAAUGCAAAAUACUCGAAAAAGAUCAAAACAAUGGACAAGAAGGAAAUUGAUUGGGAGCAUAGCUGGAAAUGAAUAAAUUAAUCAAAGAUUGCAAAUGCAAUAAGAAGGAAAUUAACUCAAAAGGAAUAAGUUAAUCAAAGAUAGCAAUGCAAUAAGAAGGUAAUCAAAGAUAAAAAAUUCAAAAUGGGCAAAAUGGAAGCUAGGUGCCCUAGAUAUCGCAGCUUAAGCUUCUCUGUACCAACUUUUUGAGGACCUUUCUGAGCUCAAUAUGUGUUCAGGGGAUCCGGAGUACUUUGUCGAUGCCCCAAGACGUAGCAUACUUUUUCAUUGUUAAUUCAGGCAUAGCAAGACUGUUGUAUGCCACACUUUGAUCAAAAUUUGAGCCGCCCUUUUCGGGUUUUCAAUUCAAAUCCCCUUUGGUCUCAAGGCGGCCUUUGCGGGUUUUCGCCUUGGCCUCUCCUUUUUCUUUUCUUUUCUUCUUUUUUCUUUUUUUUUUGAAGGUCUCAAAGCAUCAUUUGCUGGUUUUCACCUUGGCCUCUCACUUUCUAGGUGAAAAACUUCUUGACAGAAUCUGAAUUCGCAAGAUUGGGCAAUUUUUUUUUUACCAUCCAUUACGAAAUGCUCCUCUAGAACAGGCCUUCUCCACUAUAUAAUGUAAUAUCCCGAAAAUUUUUACAAUAAAAUAUUAUCCAUGAUGUAGUAAAAUAAGGAAAUAAAAUGACAAAAAGGGAAAUUUUGAGUUAUGUUAAUAUUGAGAAGUAUAUUAUGAUAUAUUAAUUCAAGAAAGGACUAAAUUGAAAAAGUGAGAAAAGUUUUGUUGCACAAUAGUGAAUACUCAAAAUUUGAGGGGUUAAAGUGUAAAUAUGAAAAAUUUGAAGGACCAAUAGUAUAAAUAUUUUAAGGGUGGAAUGAUCUAGAAACUAAGGAAAAUGGAUGAAUUAGGACCGAAUUGAAUAGAUAAAGAACUAUGAGGGACUAAAUUGUAAUUUUACCAAAUUAAAUGAUGACUCAAUGAUGGAAUUUUAAAAGAUAAUGAAGGGUAAAAUGGUCAAUUAGAAGAGAGAGAAAUCUAGAAAGUAAUAAUGAUGCUAGAGAUAUUUUGAUAUUUUAUAAUUAUUUAAUUAGAUAAAUAUUAUUUUAUUAAUAUUUUAAUAAGAUAUUUUAUUAUUAUUUUAUUAGUAUAUAAAGAAAGAAAGAUGAAAAAUUCUCAUCCAUAUUUCCCAUGCACUAACGUGAGAGAAAGAGAGAAAGAAAGAAAAUUUGACUUUCUUUACAAUUUGGUCCUUUUACCAAAAAUUCACCAUUUUCACCCAAAAAUCAAAAGAAUUUCCAUAGCUACCAAGAGAGAAAAAUGUUAAGGAGACUAUGAGAAGUUAGAAUAUCAAGUUGUAUUCAAGAAAUAGAAGCUGAAGGAGAGAGAAAAUCAAGAUGAAGAUUGAAAUCAAUAGAACAAGGUAAGAACAUCAUGAUUUCAAUAUAUUUUUAAGUUCGAUAUUAUUGAAAAAGCAUGGGAUUAAUGUUAAUGUAGAGUUUCCUUACAUAUAGUCCUAUGUUCUUGAUAUGUUAGUGAAGAGAAAACAAGAGAAAGUGAUGAGAAAUAGUGUAGAGAAAGAAAUAAGGGUGUUAUAAAUAUGGUAAAUAAUAUCUUGCACUAAAAUAGUUUUGGACAGCAGCAGUAGUCUAAUUUUGAAAACUCACUAAAAAUUGUAUAAAUCAAAUUAUAGGAUGAAUAAAAUAUGAAAUAAAACUUAUUGAAUCUAGUUUCUUAUAAAAGAAAUUAUGUAAGCAAUGGAAUUGUAAAUCAUGAGAUAUAAUAAAUUUUGUGAGACAAGGUCAGAAUGAUUUCGGGUUCCCCUGCUCUAACUUUGGAAAAUCAUCAAAAAUUUUAGAAAAAUAAUUAUGAGCUUAAAUUUAUAUGUUUAUAAUCAUGAAUUAGUAUAUUUUUAAUAGAAAUAAACAAUAACAUCAUUUGAAUUCUGUACGAGGAUAUAAUUAAUUUUUAGUGAAGAAGGAUCAGAACUGUCAGACAGCAGAAUAGGGGUAAUUUUAAAGAAUAAACUGUACUUAUUGGCUAAACAAAAAAUUUUGAAAAUUUUAUGGUAAGAAUAUAUAUUAGUAUAGUUUCAGUGAAAAUUAGCGAAUCUUAAUUUGGAGUUCUAAAGCUCCAGAUAUGAAUAAUUUAGUGACUAUGACACAGAUGGACAGCUUGAAUAUUCAUAAAAGUAAAUAAUAAAAAAAUAUAAAUAAUGUUACUUACAAGUGUGUUAUAUACAUUAAGGAUGUGGAAUGGAGUGGAGGAGGAGGAAAACAUAUAUGAAUUUUCAUUUAGCAUGGCUAAUUUGCACAUUUUAGGCUCAGGGACUAAAUUGAAUAAAAGUCAAACUUUAUGGGCAAUUUUGUAAAAAUUUUAGAAAUGACCAAAUUGCAUGAAAUGGAUUAAUUUUAUUAUUUAAAUUACAAAAUUUAAUGAAAUUAUUAAUUUAGUUCAAGAUAGGGGGAAAACAUGUUUUAGGGAUUAAAUUGAAAAGUGUUGAAAUUAUGGAAAAUUCUGAUAUUUUAUAGAAUUCAUGGAUUGUUAUCAAUAUGUAUGAGAAUAAUAGCUGGAAAUAAUGAUUAAAUUGCAAGAAUUUUAUUUUCCUAACCCUAAGGAUGAAAUUAUCAUUAAUUAAAAGUUUAGGGGCAAAAUGGUAAUUUUUCCUAAAGCAUUAAUUAAAUGCAUUAGAGUAUGAAAUGAAUGAAAAUGAUGAUCAAAUUUAUUUAUAAAGAUCCGGACGACUCAAAUAUGAGACUUGAUCGUGGAAAAGAAAAGAUAUCGGAUUAAUGAAAUUAUAAACACAAAUAAGCAAUGAGGUAAGCUCGUGUAACUUGAAUUAUAUUCUUAAAUGCUUGAGAUUGUAUGUUAUUUAUGUCAAUAUGAUUUCAACGUUCAUUGUAUAAAAAUUUAUGAAACAUUGACAUAUUUGAUAAAAGAGGAAGAAAUCCCGGUUGAAUGAAAGGAAAAUUCGAUGGAUCUCUGAAAAGGAACUGACGGUAAAAAGGAUCUAGCCCAGACAGGUGAUCCUAUCCUGAUAUAGCCCUCCCGAAGAAUAUGUGGAAAAUGGAUUUAGCACGGACGUGUAAUCUGAAUUAGGGUCUGAAUUUAGCCUGGACUGGUAAUUCAGAUCCAAGCUCAUUAGAGUAAUUGUCGUUGCAGGGGAUUUAGCCUGGACUGGUAAUCCCGACAAUACUCUAUGAGUUUAUAUUAUAGGGGAUUUAGCUUGGACUGGUAAUCCCACUGUAAGGAUGAGGUUCGCGAGAGUGUGCUCUCUAAUAUGAAAUGUGUAAGACCAUGGUUGAAAGAUACCAUGACAACCUGAUAUGAAAUGUAUAAGACCAUGGUUGAAAGAUACCAUGGCAACCUAAUACGAAAUGUGUAAGACCAUGGUCGAAAGAUACCAUGGCGACCUGAUACGAAAUGUGUAAGACCAUGGUUGAAAGAUACCAUGGUAACGUGAUAUGAAAUGAAUAAGACCAUUGUUGAAAGAUACCAUGGCAACAUGACGGGAAAUGAAUAAGACCAUGGUUGAAAGAUACCAUGGCAGCGUGACAUGAAAUGAAUAAGACCAUGGUUGAAAGAUACCAUGGCAACAUGAUAGAAAAUGAGUAAGACCAUAGUUGAAAGACACUAUGGCAUCAUGUCAAAGAUAAAUAAGACCGUGGAUGGGAGACGCUAUGGCAUCUAUUGAACAAUUGAUAUUCAGGUAAUACGUAUCAGAUGACGAAUGGUUAUAUGAAAUGGUUGUGUGAAAUGUUUACAAGAACUGGUCAUAUAGAAAUAUAUGUACAAAAUAGUUGUAGGAAAUAAUUAUAAAGAUAGAUAAACGAAAUAAGAAUAAGUACAUGGAAUAUAAUUUAUGUUAAGUUUGAUAUAAACUUUACCGAAAUAAAUAUACAUAAAAUAUAUGGAAAUGAUGGAGCAUGAAAUAUUGAUAUAAUGAAAUUAUUGAUAUAUACUUAUGAAGAAACGGUAAGAGCAUGAUAUGUUUCAUGACACGUACAUAUAUGAUUAUCUUUGAUAUGUUGAUACAAGAAAAUUAUGUAAGUUGAGACUAUUAUUAAACUCAAGUGCGAUAUGUGGAGAAAAUAAGUAUAUCAAUGUUGAAUGUAGAUGAAAUAUGUGCAAGUAUACUAACAAUGAUGUUGUUUGACGCUUAGACAAGUGCCAAGCUAUUGAUUGAAUGAUAACAUAUUUAAUUAUAAGGAGCAUUGAAAUAGUAAGUACUUAGAUGAAAAUAAAAUUUAAGAUUUUGCGAAAAAAUUUUCUAUGAUCCCGAUUUAAUUGCGGUUGGUUUCUAAUGUAUGUUUGGGGCUUCGAGGGCCCAAUAGAGAGGCGUUAUGAUUAUUCUCAAAAUAUGAAUAAUAAAUUACUCAGAAUUAUCUAAAAAUGUUCAGUAAACUUUGGUAAUGCCUCGUACCCUAUUCCAGCAAUGGAUACGGGUAGGGGGUGUUACAUUUAGUAGUAUCAGAGCUAUGAUUUUGUCGGUUCUCGGACCAAACGUAGUAUAUGUGAAGACUAAAAACACAUGUCAUUAUAAUAUGUGAUAGUGUGAUAUCUUUCGACUCUGAUAUGAUUUGUUUUAUUUAUAGAAAGAGAUGUUUUUCAACCAAGCUAAUUCCGAUAAUGCUAAAAGCGAUACUCAAGUAUAUGAGUAGAAAGUUGAUUAUGAUGAAUCGGUACCAAAAAAAAAAGGUAUAAAUAAAUGUUUUAUAAUACAUGUCAAUGAUGAAUAUUAUGUUAUAUGUAUUAUUAAAAGCAAAUUAUAUUACUACAUGAAAUAUUGUGCUGAUGACUAAAUUACAAAAUAUAUAAAAGUAAUAUAUGAAGUACAUGAUAAGGAUUAUUAGGGAAUUAUGAAUGAAUAGUAAAUUUUAAAGUAUAUUACAUGUAUUAAAGAUACAAAAGAUAUAAGUAUAUGAAUUAUUGGUACAAAGAUUAAAUUGUAAAGCAUGUAAAAGUAUUAUGCGAAAGGUGUAAAAGUGAUAUGCGCACAUGAAAUAAUUUGCCCAAGUAGACAAGAUUAGAACUACUAAGAUAUUAAGGCACCUCAGCAUGCUCUCUGAUUACUAGCACGUUAGUGCUCUCUGAUUAUUAGUACAUUCAACACAUUCGUACUCUCUGUAUAGCAGUUCAGUGUUCUCUGUUUAAUAGUGCAUAAUAAUGCACCUCUGUAUAAGUCUCGUAUAUCCGAAAUGUUCUAUCUAGUCUACUGGGCCUCUGCUAAGUAAAAAGUAAACAAUUUUCGUUACGAGGUAAAUGAUUAUCUCUGAGUAAAAAUAUUAGUUAUGAUGAAGCAGAACUCGUAAAAGUACGAAUAAAUGUUUUAUAGUACUAGAGAAUGAUAAAUUUUAUAUGAGUAAAUAUAUGAAAAUUAAAUUAUGAGACUUUGCGAUCUAUACCCCUUUACUAGUACAGUUAUAUACAAUGAAAUUCAUGAGAUUUAUAUUGAUUAAGUUCAGAAGUGGAAAGUGAAAAGUUCAAUGGUUGAACAAUUAAUAAUACAGUCGGAACUGAGAAUGAGUUAAUAGGUAAAGAUGGGUUCUUAAUAGAGACAUCAAAUUUUUUCUGAAAACUAGCUGGGAUAUACAGUACUACUGUUAAAUAAAGAAGUUAUUUAUAGGAAAAUCGAUUUGUUCAAAUAUAGUAUUUACAGAAUGGUUAACUGAAAAUUUCUUCCGAAUUAGUUUCUUGAGUGAACUGAAUGAUGUGAAAUUAUUGAUGACUAUACUAGUCAAUGGAUUGGUAAAUAAAUUGAAAAAAAAAUAUUUGAAUAUAGCUGUUAUAAAUAGGUAUAUUAUAGUAAAGUUUUUUGGGGAUUUUAUACAGGUAUUUUAUAUGUACUGAUUUUUCAGAGGAAUAUGCAACUGUUCAUGUUUGGAUGCUAUAAUCAAUAUAUGGAAAGGUUGGAUAAAUAUGCUAAUAGAUAGAAAUUAUCGUAAGUCUAAUUGAUUCACAAGUGGUACUACUCUAUCUUUCUUUGGCUUUCCAAGCUAAUAUAUGUGAUAAAACACUUGAUAAUAAGAUUCAUAUGAUAUUAUCUUCUAUUUCUGUUGGUAAAACCUCUGAGAGACAAAUGUGAAAUAUUGAAUUGAAAAUAAAAUGUGAAAUGAAAGGAUAGAGAAUGGAUAUAAAUGAUAAACUAGGUAAAUAUGUGCAGAAAGAAACUAUAAAAUUAUAGAAAUAAUGAAAUUCAUGAUCAAAAGAAAAUAAGGAAAUUUCGAGGACGAAAUUUAUUUUAAGGGGGAGAAAAAUGUAAUAUCCCAAAAAUUUUUACAAUAAAAUAUUAUCCGCGAUAUAGUAAAAUAAGGAAAUAAAGUGACAAAAAGAGAAAUUUUGAGUUAUGUCAAUAUUGGGAAGUAUAUUAUGAUAUAUUAAUUCAAGAAAGGACUAAAUUGUAAAAGUGAGAAAAGUUUUGUUGCACAAGAGUAAAUACUCAAAAUUUGAGGGGUUAAAGUGAAAAUAUGAAAAAGUUGAAGGACCAAUAGUAUAAAUAUUUUAAGGGUGAAAUGAUCUAGAACUAAGGAAAAUGGAUGAAUUAGGACCGAAUUGAAUAGAUAAAGAACUAUGAGGGACUAAAUUGUAAUUUUACCAAAUUAAAUGAUGACUCAAGGAUGGAAUUUUAAAAGAUAAUGAAGGGUAAAAUGGUCAAUUGAAAGAGAGAGAAAUCUAGAAAGUAAUAAUGAUGUUAGAGAUAUUAUGAUAUUUUAUAAUUAUUUAAUUAGAUAAAUAUUAUUUUAUUAAUAUUUUAAUAAGAUAUUUUAUUAUUAUUUUAUUAGUAUAUAAAGAAAGAAAGAUGAGAAUUCUCAUCCAUAUUUCCCAUGCACUAACGUGAGAGAAAGAGAGAAAGAAAGAAAAUUUGACUUUCUUUACAAUUUGGUCCUUUUACCAAAAAUUCACCAUUUUCACCAAAAAAUCAAAAGAAUUUCCAUAGCUACCAAGAGAGAAAAAUGUUAAGGAGACUAUGAGAAGUUAGAAUAUCAAGUUGGAUUCAAGAAAUAGAAACUGAAGGAGAGAGAAAAUCAAGAUGAAGAUUGAAAUCAAUAGAACAAGGUAAGAACAUCAUGAUUUCAAUAUAUUUUUAAGUUUGAUAUUAUUGAAAAAGCAUGGGAUUAAUGUUAAUGUAGAGUUUCCUUACAUAUGGUCCUAUGUUCUUGAUAUGUUAGUGAAGAGAAAACAAGAGAAAGUGAUGAGAAAUAGUGUAGAGAAAGAAAAUAAGGGUGUUAUAAAUAUGGUAAAUAAUAUCUUGCACUAAAACAGUUUUGAAAAAUCACUAAAAAUUGUAUAAAUCGAAUAUGAAUAAAAUAUGAAAUUAAAACUUAUUGAGUCUAGUUUCUUAUAGAAGAAAUUAUGUAAGCAAUGGAAUUGUAAAUCAUGAGAUAUAAUAAAUUUUGUGAGACAAGGUCCGAAUGAUUUCGGGUUCCCCUGCUCUGACUUUGGAAAAUCAUAAAAAACUUUAGAAAAAUAAUUAUGAGCUUAAAUUUAUAUGUUUAGAAUCCUGAAUGAGUAUAUUUUUAAUAUAAAUAAACAAGAACAUCAUUUAAAUCUUGUACGAGGAGAAAUUUAAUUUUUAUUGAAGAAGGGUCAGAACUGUCAAACAGCAAAUUAGUGGUAAUUUUAAAGAAUAAACUGUACUUAUUGGCUAAACAAAAAAUUUUGAAAUUUUUAUGGUAAGAAGAUAUAUGUCUAGUUUUAGGUAAAAUUAGCGGAUCUUAAUUUGGAGUUCUAAAGCUCCAGAUAUGAAUAAUUUAGUGACUAUGACACAGAUGGACAGCUUGAAUAUUCAUAAAAGUAAAUAAUAAUAAAAAUAUAGAUAAUGUUUCUUACAAGUGUGUUAUAUACAUUAAGGGUGUGGAAUGGAGUGGAGGAGGAGGAAAACAUAUAUGAAUUUUCAUUUAGCAUGGCUAAUUUGCACAUUUUAGGCUCAGGGACUAAAUUGAAUAAAAGUGAAACUUUAUGAGCAAUUUUGUAAAAAUUUUAGAAAUGACCAAAUUGCAUGAAAUGGAUUAAUUUUAUUAUUUAAAUUAUAAAAUUGAAUGAAAUUAUUAAUUUAGUUCAAGAUAGGGGAAAACAUGUUUUAGGGAUUAAAUUGAAAAGUGUUGAAAUUAUGGAAAAUUCUGAUAUUUUAUAGAAUUUAAGGAUUGUUAUCAAUAUAUAUGAGAAUAAUAGUUGGAAAUAAGGAUUAGAUUGCAAGAAUUUUAUUUUCCUGACCCUAAGGAUGAAAUCGUCAUUAAUUAAAAGUUUAGGGGCAAAAUGGUAAUUUUCUGGAGCAUUAAUUAAAUGCAUUAGAGUAUGAAAUGAAUGAAAAUGAUGAUCAAAUUUAUUUAUAAAGAUCUGAACGACUCAAAUAUGAGACUUGAUCGAGGAAAAGAAAAGAUAUCGGAUUAAUGAAAUUAUAAACACAAACAAGCAAUGAGGUAAGUUCGUAUAACUUGAAUUAUAUUCUUAAAUGCUUGAGAUUGUAUGUUAUUUAUGUGAAUAUGAUUUGAAUGUUCAUUGUAUAAAAAUUUAUGAAACAUUGACAUAUUUGAUAAAAGAGGAAGAAAUCCCGGUUGAAUGAAAGGAAAAUUCGAUAGAUCUCUGAAAAGGAAUUGACGGUAAAAAGGAUCUAGCCCGGAUGGGUGAUCCUAUCCUGAUAUAGCCCUCCCGAAGAAUAUGUGGAAAAUGGAUGUAGCACGAACGGGUAAUCUGAAUUAGGGUCUGAAUUUAGCCUAGACUGGUAAUUCAGAUCCAAGCUCAUUAAAGUAAUUGUCGUUGCAGGGGAUUUAGCUUGGACUGGUAAUCCCGACAAUACUCUAUAAGUUUAUAUUACAGGGGAUUUAGCCUGUACUGGUAAUCCCAUUGUAAGGAUGAGGUUCGCGAGAGUGUGCUCUCUGAUAUGAAAUGUGUAAGACCAUGGUUGAAAGAUACCAUGGCAACCUAAUAUGAAAUGUGUAAGACCAUGGUUGAAAGAUACCAUGGCAACAUGACGGGAAAUGAAUAAGACCAUGGUUGAAAGAUACCAUGGCAGCAUGACAUGAAAUGAAUAAGACCAUGGUUGAAAGAUACCAUGGCAACAUGACAGAAAAUGAGUAAGACCAUAGUUGAAAGACACUAUGGCAUCAUGUCAAAGAUAAAUAUGACCGUGGAUGGGAGACGCUAUGACAUCUAUUGAACAAUUGAUAUUCAGGUAAUACGUAUCAGAUGACGAAUGGUUAUAUGAAAUGGUUGUGUGAAAUGUUUACAAGAACUGGUCAUUUAGAAAUAUAUGUACAAAAUAGUUGUAUGAAAUAAUUAUGAAGAUAGAUAAACGCAAUAAGAAUAAGUACAUGGAAUAUAAUUUAUGUUAAGUUUGAUAUGAACUUUACCGAAAUAAAUAUACAUAAAAUAUAUGGAAAUGAUGGAGCAUGAAAUAUUGAUCUAAUGAAAUGAUUGAUAUAUACUUAUGAAGAAACGGUAAGAGCAUGAUAUGUUUCAUGACACGUACAUAUAUGAUUAUCUUUGAUAUGUUGAUACAAGGAAAUUAUGUAAGUUGAGACUAUUAUUAAACUCAAGUGUGAUAUGUCGAGAAAAUAAGUAUAUCAAUGUUGAAUGUAAAUGAAAUAUGUGCAAGUAUACUAACAAUGAUGUUGUUUGACGCUUAGACAAGUGCCAAGCUAUUGAUUGAAUGGUAACAUGUUUAAUUAUAAGGAGCAUUGAAAUAGUAAGUACUUAGAUGAAAAUAAAAUUUAAGAUUUUACGAAAUUUUUUUCUAUGAUCCCGAUUUAAUUCCGGUUGGUUUCUAAUGUAUGUUUGGGGCUUCAAGGGCCCAAUAGAGAGACGUUAUGAUUAUUCUCAAAAUAUGAAUAAUAAAUGACUCAGAAUUAUCUGAAAAUGUUCAGUAAACUCCGAUAAUGCCUCGUACCUUAUUCCGGUAAUGGAUACGGGUAGGGAGUGUUAUAUAUAAGGUCCUCCCCAGCUUGAUGUCCACUUUCCUCUUAAGUCCUUAUGUAUAAAAAAGAUCUUUUUCAACAUCAAGUUUCCCUCAUGGAAUUAUCUAGUGCGAACCUCUUUAUCGUAAGCUUGCAUCAUUCGUUUUUGGUACGUUUGACCAUGACGGGUAACUUUCAAUCUCUUUUAUUAAGUUCACUGGAUCCAUUCUGCUUCUUCCAAUUUCAGUUUUGACAAGACUCGGAGAAAAGUAAUCUCAUUUUCAAUGGGCGAAAGUGCUUCUAUUCCAUAAACCAAUGAGCAAUGUCUUGCCCCAACUAAGGUCCUAACCGACGUUCGAUAAACAUAGUGGAUAAAUGGUGAUUUCUUAUGCCAAUCUUUAAAAGUCUCGGUUAUCUUCCCCAUGAUCCUUAGUUUUUUUUGGUUGCUGCCUUUGCUGCACUGCAAUAUGACGCCUAAUCUUUGAACAGACUGCAAACUCUUGACAUUUUGUAGUUGUGUUAGGCAUGAUCCUUUCUGGCAUUCUUUGUUGGCACCUCUUUUCUCUUUUUUUAUUCAAAAUUUGAUGACUGUCGACUGAGUAAUAUUGACAUAUGAAGCGGCUUUCACCCUCUUGGUGAAGUAAUUGAUGCCUGCUAGAAGCUUUCGACGAGAUCGGCCCAAUAACCUCUAUGCCUCAUAUAAAGAAAAUCUACGAAAAAAUGAAGGGACACAUGGAUCUUGUCUCCAUAAAUUUGGCAUUUACGACAUACUGAUGCAAUCUCCUUAUACGGUGGACCAGCAGAAUCUAAAUCUCAUGAUUAGCCUGGCCAUCGUAAAACCAUUAGCAUAUGCUGUUCAAACACCUUGUAGCAUCCUCACGCCUUAGUAACCCAAGCAUAUCUUGAUGCGAUCAUGUGAAAACAUCUUUGACUUCUUGGAAUGACUCAAUGAUGUCUCGCUUUGUCUUUAGGGUGAUGCAGACUCUGAUGUUUGCUUCUUUCUCUUGUCCUAGGCUUACUGUCCAUUGACUUUUUGUAAAGUAGGAUCUGUUUUCAUCUUACUCUACCAUCCUUAACAAAUCAGGAGAUAUGUUACAGUCUCUGUCAUCUUCCAAGUACUGAAAUCCCUCAAGACACAUAUCUCGCUCAAAAGAAGAUUCUGGGUCAGUAGCAACGUCGCUCAUGUCGUUGAUAUCUAGAGACCUAUUGAAGGCAGAUGCCAAAGAAUAAAUGAUUUUAAGGAUGAUUAUUUGUACGGUAUGAUCAUGAAUGAAGAAUAAAUGAAUAUUUGAAAGAAAGUCCAAAGAACAAAAGAAUCUAAGAACAAUUAUUUGUACCGUAUGAAAUGAAAUAAAAGAAUAUUUGCUUAAAAAGAUGUAUUUUAUUGAAAUAAAGACUUAGGACACAAGCCUAUUUCACCAAAGGAUUCUUAUUGCUUCUAGGCUUAAAGCAACAAGCAUGUUUUAAAUAUUACUCUAGAUUAGCUCUAAAAAUAAAGGGAUCUCUUCCACAGUCCCAUUGUUCAAAACACUCCCAAGUACGCAAGGGUUUGGAAACUUUUAUUCCCUUGUUCCCUCUUUGGAUAUGUCAUUCAGAUUCCACGAUAUUCCUUCUAGGCUUUUGACUUGUUCAAGGCAUUACAACUCUUUUGCCUCCACUUUCAAAUCGCAUUUACUGCAUUGUCUGAGCGAUUUGGUUCUGAGGAAUUGUCAAACUUCACAACUCCUAUUUCAAUGAACCUUUCGACCAACUUUUUAAAUGUAGUGCAGUUUUCAAUUGAGUGUCCCGUUAUUCCUACAUGGUACUCGUAUUGAGCAUUCUUAUUAUACCAUUUUGGGAAUGGACGUUGCACGGGUUUCGAGUAGAACGGAGACACCACAUGUACAUCAAAGAGAUUCUGAUACAACUCCUUAUAUGACAUUAAGAUGGGUGUAAACCGAAGUCUUUCUGCAUUCGGCCUCGAGUUAGAUUCCUACAUUGAAGAGCCUUGAUAGCUAGUGGUAAUAGUCCUCGGCUGGCCUACGUUGACCAAUUUGGGAUGCCUUUUACUCAUAUUAUUCACUUCAUUUUCAUUUCUCUUUGGGGUUGGUCUCUGAGCGCUUUCUCUUGCGUCUAUCUUCCCGCUUUUGAUUGCAUUUUCAAUCAUCUCGCCGGACAUUACUAUAUCUGAGAAGUACAUUGUAGCGCUUCCCAACAUAUGGGUAAUAAACGGGGCUUUCAGAGUGUUGACAAAAAGCAUCGUAGUUUCUUUCUCCAUAAGAAGUGGCUGGACUUGUGUCACUACCUCUCUCCAUCUUUAGGCAGAUUCCCUGAAGUUCACACUUUUCCUUUUUUCCAUAUUCUGCAGUGUAAUUCUGUCGGGCGCCAUGUCUAUCACGUGGCCAUAUUGCUUCAUAAAAGCCUGUGCCAAGUCCUUCAAUAAAUGGAUUUUGGCACGGCUCAGAUGGUUGUACCAUUUGGCAGCUGACCCAAUCAGACUAUUUUGGAAGCAAUGAAUUAAUAGUUGAUUGUUAUCAACGUAACUUGUCAUUCUUCGGUAGAACAUCGUGAUGUGAGCUUUAGGACAACUAGUCCCAUUAUACUUUUCAAAUUCUGGAGUCUUGAAUUUCGGCGGGAGUACUAAAUCUAGAACCAAACUGAAAUCUUUGGCGCUGACCCUGCAAUGGUAAUCAGCAUUUUCCAUUGCUCUAAGUUUUUCCUCCAACCACUUGUAUCGAUCUUCGAGUUGUUUUGGCAGUUCAACCUUGCUUUUUCUAUUCCUGCCAUUUUGUCUAGAUCAGGAACUACAUGAUUGGUUGGACUGUUCCUUGGAUUGGAACCUGAGCCCGUCGGGUAGUUCAUGGGUGCCGAGGUAUCGGCCUGAUGUUGUUGGGAUCUAAUAGCAAUAAGUACAUCUUGCGAACAUGUCUGAUCGUUUAUCGGGAUGAAAAUCGGAGGGUACAGAGACUCCUCAUUGUCCUCCCCAGCAUUGAUCAUGGAGUUUUUUCCUUUUUCUAGCCCCUUAGUCAGUAAUUGGGACAACUGAUUCAUCACAUUCUUUUGGGACUCUAGCAUUUGGUCCCUCAUAUCAUGCUGGAUCUUUGCUAGUUGCUCUUGCAUUUGCAGUUGUAACUAGUCUUGCAUCUCUCUUUGAAGUUGUUCAAGUCUUUCCAAUCUUUGAUCCAUAUCUUUUAUCUUUUUUCGUGUACCGUAAAGAUGCCUAGUCGUUUGAAUUUUUUUGGUUCCCAGGUUAACUAAAAUAAUUUUACCUAAUUAGAGUGCUUUAGGGAAAUUCUAAUGCAAAUGAUGCAAUGCAAUGCAAAUGUAUGGAAUGAAUGCAAAAGAAAGGAAGGCGUUGAUUCUAAAUUCAAUUUCAUUAGAACAACUUUUCUAGAAAACAAAUUCCUUUACAUAAAACGGAUUACAUAUACGACCUUUCUCUCAUAUUCCAAGCGAAGACACCUAUCUUCCUUUUCAUAUCUGGAUGUUAUGGUCGAGUCUUGCAAAUUUUCUAAAAGAUAUCCCCAUUAACUCCUUUUUGCUUGAUCUAGGCUGCGACUCGUUGCUCACUUAUCCCCGCGAUACUCGUCAGCUCCUUUAAGAAAGUCAAGACGUAACGGCCCUCGAAUAAUCUUUGUCGGUUUUAAUCCUCAGGCAAUGAAGCAAAGUUGUGUAUUUCUUCAUGGGCUAUCAGCCUUCUAUCAUUGUGUUUACUUGGACCAUAUUUAGACAACCGUGUUAUAAUCCACUUUAUCAAGAAAUUCGUUUUCUUAUGACAAACUGUUCUAUUUAGCAAUCAAAUAUGAAUCAACACCUCCUUUCUAUGAUGAUGUAAUGCAAUGCAGUUAUAAACAAAACACAAACAAAACACGUUAGUACAGGAGAAAUAAAUAACAAAUAAAGCACUUAUUCGGGUGACCACUAGGGGUUCGGAGUGGCUCUACCUAGGGUAAGCUCCUAGGUCUCUCUAUAUGUGGCUCGGUUCUAAAGUAAGAGUACCCGAACUAGUAGAUUCCUUGAUCCUCACCCAUUAUAGGCUCAUAUAGAUUAAGUUCGGUUCAGGGGGAUACAUUUCUCUAUGACCAUGGGGAGAUGAAAAUCUUACGAAAUCAUAGGUAUAGAUGUAUCCCGAAAGUAAUCGACUAGCCCAUGCGGAGGUGAAAACCUCACGAAGGCAUAGCUUCUCACUCCCACUUAAAAGGUGUGACCACAGCGGUCAUGCAAUGCAAUGUACGAGGAUAUAUGCAUAAGAAAAACUCGAAGCAAUAAAGAAAAAAGGAAAAAUAAUGAAAACCGUAAGAAAAACUGAUGAAAUGCAAUGAAGGGAUCAUAAGUUUAAAACGAGUUUUCAAAUUUUCAACAAAGGACAAAAAUCAAUCAAUUUAUGGCUUGACUCUCAGGGUCCCCAGCGGAGUCGCCAAGCUGUCGAAACCAUUUUUUUGAAAAACGGGGUCGACUUUGGUUUUGAAAAUGGAAACAAAAAUUGAGAGUCGCCACAAAUCUUUUUUGUUUAGGUGUGAUCAGAUCACCUAAAAAUUUGGUCAUUUUAAUAGAACAUUUCGAUUUACUAAAAUAACAAUUUUGGUCUACGAAAUUUGAGAAAACAGGUUCGGGAAUCGGUUACGUACGAGGAAGGAUUAGCACCUUCGUAAUGCCCAAAAUUGGUACCUAAUUGAUUAAUUAAUGUCUUAAAGUCGAAAUUUAAAAACUCGAGAACAAUUUAGAAUACGAUCCCUCUUUUUAUUAAUGUUAAUUUUACAAAAAUAUUUGAAUAAAUCAAAGGAGAUGCUAAAGACCUUCUUGUCUCGAAGUAAUAAAAUGUCACAUCCAGUACGUUAGGACACGACAUUUUAAACCCUCGAGAAUAAGAUUGUCUUUUGAUUUUCAAAACUCGUGUAUUUUAAUUUUAAAAGGAUAUUCGAUUAUUUGGUCAAGCGAUAAAUCGAAACCCAGUACGUUAGGGCACAAUUUCUCGAAUUUCCAAACACGAAAUAUUAUCUUUAUUAAAAACUCAUUUUCUAUGAAUUUUGGUGGAAAUUAGUGAAAUGCUAAAAUGAUACAUAUAUAUAUGGUUUAUUUAAUUAUGUUAAAAAAUCAUUUAAAACUUUUAAAAAGGGUCAUUCGCGGCUAAUAACAAUAGUACAACAAAUAUUUGAAGUGACAAUAAUAUCGCAUAAAAAAAACAACGUAUAACAUUAGCAUCAACGAACCAUAAUGUCGUCAAACAUUAACAACAACAAAAAUAUGAUGCAAAUGAUAAUAUGGGGAACAAGAAUAACAAAUAACAAUAACAAAUUCAAAAAAAAAACAAAUAAAGACAAUAAAUAAAUAAAAAAAAUAAAAAAGGGUCUAAAUAAAAAUUUAAAAAAGAGCAAAUAAAUAAAAGAAAUAAAAUGUUAAAUAAAACACGUAAAAUGAUAAUGACAAUAAUAAUAAUCUAAAAUUUGAAGGUAUAUAUAAAGAUAUAAAAUAAAUAAAUAAAUAGUAAAAUGAUAAUAAUAGGAAACGAUGAAAAUAAACAAAGCGUAUUUAAAAGAGUAGAUAAAAAAAUGAUAUUAAUAAUAUAAUAAAAAAUCUGAAGUUUAAAAAAAACUAUGUAAAAGUAUAUAAAUAAAUAAAAUGAUAAUAACAAGAAUAAAAUGUAUAUAAAAAAUAAAAGUAAUAUUAAUACAUAAAUAUAAAUAGAAGUAUAAUGAAUAGAAAUAUAAUAGAAACAUAAAUAAAUAAUUAAAAUUAGAGAAACGGUAAUAACGUUAGAAUAAUAAAAUAAACAUGAAUAUAAAUAUAAUACUAAUAGUAAUAAUAUAAUAAUGACAAUAGUAACAAAUAAUAAUAAUAAUAAUAAUAAUAAUAAUAUCAAUAAUAAUAUCAAUAAUAAUGAAGAUAACAAAUAUGUAAAGAAUGUAAAAAUAAAAUGUAAGCAAUUUAAUUUUAAAUGUGUAUAAAAAUAAAGAAAUGAUAGCAACAAGAUAAAUAGAUAAAUAAAUAGUAAUAAUAAUAAUAAUAAUUACAAUAGUGAAACAUGCAAAUGACAGAAUAAAUAAUAAUACAAAUUUAAAAUACAAAAUAAACGUAUAAAGAAAUAAAUAAAUGCAUGAAUAUAUGAAUAAACAAAUAAAACAAAACAUAACAAUCUAUAAAGGUUGAAAUUAAAUGAAUAAAGGGUUAAAUCGAAAUUUGAAAUGAAAUUUAGAGCCUAGAUUAUAAUAAAAAUGACAAAUAAGGACCGAAUCGAAACUAAAUGAGGUUAAUGGGGAUAAAUCGUGAAAAAUAAAAAAGAAGGGGCUAACACUGAACGCGCGAACAAAGUGGAAGGGCCAAAGGGAAAAUAUCCCCGCCCUUCAAAACGCUGCACCUCAUGCAGGAUUAAAAUGAAAUAAAAGUGAAAUCAUCUGGCCAAAUUAAAAAAUAAAGAAAAUUGAAUUGUGGAGUUAUUAAGAGGCGGGAGGACCAAAAGGGUAAAUAUCCCCUUUUGCAGAAACACGCGGAUCCCAUGGUUAAGGGUCGGGUCGACCCGUUUUAUGCAAAACGACGCCGUUUUGGCGCCUGAAACCAGGGCCCAAAACGACGUCGUAUGAUCCCCUUAUAAAUGCCAAAUUUUCAACAAAAGAAAUAUUCAUUCCUUCAGCCUCUUUAAAAAAAAAAUGGACCCUCCCCUCUUUUUUUCUCUACUAGGGUUUCAAAAGAAACCCAUCAUCACCGAACAGCCUUGGCUCCACCGUGGACGGUGGUCGGAGCCACGCUAAGAUCGGACUCGGGUAAGUCCCCAUUCCCUUCCUUUUUCAUUUUUUUACUUGAAAAUAGAUUUGUAAUAAUAUAUAAAAAGAAAGAAUAGGGAAAACGAAAAGAAAAAAAAGAAGAUAAAAUCAAGAUCAACCUCUUUUUUUUAUUUUGCUUUUGAUUUCUGAAAUAUUUGUGAUACAAUCUUUUUUUUUGUAGAAAAACCCCCCCGUUACAAUCUAUUUUUUGUGGCUUUAUAGCCAAUCUAUUGUUCACUUUUUGCUACUGUUUCUAUCAUUUCUUGCUGCUAUCUUUUGCUUUUGUGUCCUCUUUUCUCGCUGUUUGCAGGUCCUUGGAGGUGCAGACGAUGGGACGGGGCAAGGAGUGGUUGAUCCUUGAGCGUUGAAUGCACUGACCAGGCACGUGGGGAGCGACGCACACUGCUGCUAGGUUUUUUUUUUUGUUUCUUCUUUUUUUUUAGGGUUAUGGACUUGUAAAAUUUUGGGCUAGGGUAGUGUUUGGUUUGAUUUGGGCUUGUUGUUAUUAAGGCCCAGUCAAAUUUGGGCAUUUACAAAUAUCACCACCACAAUAAUCCAUAAAAAAAAAAAAGAAUAGAGAGAAAUACAAUACAUUAUCGGUACAGGUUGUGGAUGCAAAUAGAGUAGAUAUUAUGUUUUGGAUUUAUGUUCAGGUCAUAUGUGGAUCAACAACAUGUAUUGUUAGAAAUUACCUUGCAUGGUCGUUGGGGAUCAAAUCAAUGAUUUCAUUGCUGGCUCUGUUUUCCUUGUAUUUUCAGCUUCAAUUUCUUUUGCCUAGAUUUUGCCGGAUUAUCUUGUCGAAUCUAUUCGAAUUAGAAAUUUCAGUUAUUGAACUAGAAGUCUUAAAUUUUGAUUUGAUCGAAAAAAAAAUAAUUUGAAUUCAAACCCGAAUUCAUCCUAAGCUAAAUUGUUUAUUUACUCGAAUUAAUUUAAAAUAAUUUGAACUCGAAGAGAUUAGAAUCCAAAAUACUUCAAAUCCAUAUGACCUGAUUUGUAAAAUCCAAACUCAAAACAAUUCAAACCUAAAAUGCUCCGAAAAUUUUAAAACUUUAAUUAAUUUGAUUCAAAUUCAUCCACCCAAUUGAAGACAAAUCUACUUGAAUCUACUAGUUUUUUAAUGUACCCUUAUCUAUGAAAGACUUUAAAAUUGAAAAUGACAGAUUAGGUAUUGUUAAGUGUUUUUCCGUUGUGUCUCAUUGAAGGGGACAAUCAAGUAUUUAUACACAUUGUUAUUGUUCAUGGAAUUGACGUUCUUAGUAGGUUCUAUACAUGUUGGACACAUGUACUUUUGGUUUGUCUGAUGGACUUCGUGGCCCCCACAUGUAAACUCUUUGGGUCUAUAUGCAAAUUGGAACCGUGGACUCCCCAUGUGAGCACUCCUUGGCAUAUGCGAACUGAGAUUGCGAAUUCCCCUUGCUAAGCCCCCACUGUAAGGCCUGCACACAUGCAUCCAUCUAGUAGAGCCCAGCCGAGUCACGGGUAAACAACUUUAGACUUUAUCUACAUUUUAAGUUGGUGAUCAUAAAAACAUAACAGGUCUAGACUUACUCAUGAGUUUAAUAACCCACUCUAAUUAAGAUAAAUGUGAGUAUGACAUUUUUCAUCUUGGUCAGGUACGUCCCGCUUGAAUUAAAGAUUAAUGACAAAAAUAUAUAAAGGUUAAUAAAAGAUUAUAUAUUUUUAAUAGUUUAUUAUUUUAUGAAUAGCAAAAUGGGUUGCUGGGUCGAACUGAAUGUUGCCUCAGCUUAGAGUUUUUUUUUUUCAAUUAGGCCCUUUUUUUUUAAAUCAGGCUCAAUCCAGCUGGCCCAUGCACAUGUCCACAACAUUUAAAGGAAAUAUGUGGAAUAGUUGGCAAAAUUUUCAUCCACCAUUAAAUCAUCAACCACGGUUGACCAAUUGAAACUAGUAGUUUCUUUUGAAGUGUCUCCUUAAAAUUAAUUGAGUAUUAAUUUGUUGCUGCAUUACUUGAAAUUUACGAGUUUGAAAUGUAUAAUGUUCCCUCAAUGAUUUGGGUAAUAUAUGGACAUAAUUUUUUACCAUUACUAGAUAAGUGUGAAAUCGAAACCAAAAAGAAAAUCCAAAAGUCGUUGAAAAUAAAUGUUAAUUGUAAGCUGCAACUUGAAAAACAGACUUAAAUUUCAAUGGAUGAAAACGAAAAGUUUAGGGAGUGUGGGGGUUGGCAUUUAAGAUUCAAUGAGAAGCUGAAAAGUCAGAUGAAAAUUAGGUGAUGGGAUAAAUGUAUGGCGGCUUUGGUUAACCACUGACUGAACUGUGACAUUUUAGUGCAUAAACCUCAGCCUGAACGUAUGAAUCCACAAUGCCUUGAGCAUGAAGUAAUCUCUAUUUUCUUUCGUAUUUUAUUGAAACAAUGAAUUUGUUUUCCUUAAAAAUCUGGGUAUACUAUAUAGCAAUUAGUCAAAUCAAGUCUUUUAUUAACAGUUGACUGAAUAUCUUUUCAUGGAAAAGCAGUGGAAAUUAGCCAAAGAACUGUCACAUGAUCUAGUUGAGUAGUCAUUAAUGAUGUCUUCAAACAGAAACGAAAGGAAGGGAAUUCGAUAAAAGACAGUAUAAUUCAAAGCAGAAAAUAAAUGACAAAAUGAACAAUAUGGCUAUGGGUUUGCGUACGUUGAUAGUACUGCAAGCACUGUUUUUGUGUGUUUAAAAUCAAACAUAGCGUGAUCGUCAUUAAAUGUGUGUUGGCCAAGCAACUGUUCUCUGUAAUCAUUUACAACCAUUUAUAUAUAUCCAAAACUUUCUCUAUGAACCAUUGAAUUGUUAUCAACUAAUCUAUAACCCACCCAUAUUGAUGGAUGAAUAUUGAAGAUUUCGGAUAUUGAAAACACAACCACAACACUAUAAUCCCAAACUAACUAAUCACUACAUUUUAUGCAUGUAAAUCUGUAAAAAUAUCGUGAAAAUAUUUGUAUUUAGAGUUUGAUUGUAUUUUAGUCCUUUUUUUUUUUCCUAAAAGGAAAGUUCUAUCUAUUUGAUAAAUAUAUUUUCUUUGUUUCUUUUUACAUUACUGGUUAAAUUUUAAUUUUGGUUCUUCUAUUUUUUUUAUAUUAUAUAAAAAAGGUUAAAUUUUAAUUUAAAUCCUUAUACUAUGUUCAAAUUUGAGAUUUAAUUUUUAUAAAUUAAUUUUAACAUAAUGUGACACAUCAACAUUUAUAAUGUUAUUAGUUAAUCUAAAUAUUUUAUUCUAAUUAAAAUGCUAACAUAAAUUUUAAUAAUUUUUAAAAAUAUUAAAUAUUUUGUUAAAUUCAUGUCCAUUAUAAUGUUAUUUUUUUGUCACAUGAUUAUCGAGUGAGUACUUUUUAAAUUCUAGAAUGUUACGCCAAUAAAAUUGAUAUAAGAAUUUUAACGAUGUUAACAACUGGACUUAAAUUUUUAAUUUCUAAACAUAAAGGAACUAAAUUAUUAAAAAUAAAAAUAUAGUAAUUAAAUUUCAAAUAUACACAGAGUUUAAAAAGUAGAACCAUAUUAUAAACUUUAAAUUUUAAUUAUUUAGUUCAAAAACAAUUAAUACAACACAAAACUGGAUAAGAAACCAUACUAAUGUUAAAGAAAAGAUCCUACUUAUCUUAAUUAUCUCAUGUCAAAAAGUCAAUUAAGUUCAUAUAUUAAAUUCACACUCAAUUAAGUUAUUGUCGUUAAUUAAAAUAAUUAAUUAAAUCUCUCCAUUAAGAGUGUCUGUCAUUAACCAUGUUGACCGUUAAAAUAAAUUGACGAACUAAUCAAACGGUUACAUGUCGUAGCUUUUGGUUUAGUCUAUUAUUUUUCUCAUACAAAAUGGUUAAAAAAAUCAUAAAAAUUAUAUAAAAAAAGAAAAUAUUAAAAUUAAUAUAAAAUUAUAAAAAUAUAAAAACUUAUAAAUAUUAUAAAAUAUAAAAAAUAAUAAUAAAUUAUAAAAGGAAAUUUAUAAAAUUAAUAAAGUUUAUUCAAAAUAUUUAAAGUUAAAAAAUGUAUUAAAAUUCUUUUUUUGAUAUAAUGCUUAGAACUAGCUAUAGCCCCUCCCUAACUCAUAAAUAGGAGGAUAAUGUGCUUCAAUGCACUCAAACCCAUAUCCUCUUGUAUUGAAAACAAUGGCCAUGCUAAAGACUCAAUUAACUCGUAUUAGAAUUCUUUAAAAAUAAUAAUAAAAAAUUGUUACAAUUUAUUAAAAAAUAUUUAAAAUGAUAUAAAGUUAUAAAAAUUAUAAAAUAAAUCAUAAAAAACUUGAAUUGGAUCGGUUAUCCCCAAAUUGACAAGGGUAUUGGUCUGGGGAAAGCCAUUAGACCAGUUGACCUAGGAAUUGGGUAGUUAAAUUGAUUUUUUUAUUUUUAAAUACUUUUUUCAAAUCAAAAUUUCCUUAUCCAACUAUUAUCAUAUGUCAAAAUGAAAUAUUCUAACCAAAGUUUUUAGUAUCAGACUGGUGGUCAAAUCGAUCAAGCCACCCGUUUUUCAGUUCAAUUGAUCUGCCUAGUUCAAUUAAAUAAAAAUUAAAAAAAUAAAAAGAAUAAAAAAUUGGUUCAACCGUUUGGUUCCCAAUUCAAUCGAUCUAAUGGCUUUCUCUAGACUGAUACCAUUGUUGAUUUCGAUCUAAUUGGUCCAACUGACUAAUUCGAUCUAGUUCAAAUUUUUAUGAUUUUUUUAUAAUUUUUGUAAUUUUAUAUAAAUUUUAAUACUUUUUAUGAUUUUUAUAAAAAUUUUAAAUAUAUUUUAUUAAUUUUUUUUAUAAAUUUUUAUAAGUUUAUAUGAAUUAAUUGAUGUUGAUCAAUUUUGCUUUCAUCUCAUAAAAGACAUUGAUGUGAACAAGUACUUUAUAUCCGAAAAAAAGUCCACAUUAAACUAAUAGGUAAUGUGACAUUUAAAGACGUCUCUUACUUUUUAUAGGAUUGAUUGUGAUAAUGAUAUUAUUAGGUGCAAUUUAAUAAGUGUUGAGCAAGUUGGGAAAAAAUAGUCGAAGGGUUAAAAUACCUUCUUAGCCCUAAUACUUCGGCAAAAUUAGAAAUUUAAAAUCUCUACAUUUAAAAAGUUACAAAUUUUGUUUAAUACCUUAGUCUAAUCAUUAUUAUCAUAAGUAUUUUUCAAUCAAAAUUUGUUUAACUUAGCAUGUUGAUUAGGUUACCAUCAUAUAAUUUGGUAUAUGAUUGACAGAAAAUAACCAUGUUAAGUUGACAAUUUUUUACAGAAACUAUUAAUGAUGUUAAAUAAUUAGAGUAAGGUUCUAAAUUGGAAAAAUAAUAAAACUUGUUUUUUUAACUUUUAAAGUAUAAGUAUUAGAUCUAAAAAUUUGUAAAGAUACACAUAAAAAAAACUUGUUUCAACCAAACCAAAAUAAAGUCAAAUUGAGAAGAUUUCGAGUAAUUAAUCCAAUUAAUUCAAUAGAUAAGUUGAAUCAAAAAUAUUUUUUUUAAGGAUCUUACAAGUAUAUUAGUAAGUACUUGAAUGAUUACCUCAAUCAAAUUAGUAUAAAACAUAAAUGGAUUGAAAUUUAAAAUAUAUUUUAGAUAGAGUUACACGUUGUGGGAUUUAAAUUUAAAAUAAAUUCAGGUGAGAAAAUAUUGUAACACCUCGUUACUUGACUUGAUUGUCGGGUAUGAGUUAUAAGGUGUCAUAUUCGUUACCGAAGCAAUUACGAUUAAAUUACAUUCAUUUUCAAACCAUUAAACAUUCAAAUGUAACUAAAACAAGUGUAUUAAACGAUACAUAAUCAUUUUCGGGUCUUAUAUGAGCUUACGAAAGAUCUUUUACUAACCUGAGCUCGAAAUAGGACCAAAUAAUAAGGAUUCUAAAAUUUUGGGUUGACGUUGCAACACUGAGGGUUUCUUGUCACGAUGCAACUCUCUAUUUGGUGCUCAUCGUGACCUUGAAGCAACGACAUCUCCACAAGGACUUUGCUCUAUUUCUCGUCGCAACAUCAAUGGUUCAUCAUUGUAAUGUGACUCAUUGUUUCCAAAAAGGACCAAUUUGAAACAAGUUUUAAAAACCUGUAUUAACAUGAAUAAUCUCAAUCACAAUCAAACAACAUAUUUACAAUUGCAUAUUAGACAAAACAUACCAAAACGGUACUUCAAAAUUACAUUACGCGGCUAAGUUUCAAGUUUGACCAUUUUCGAUACAAAACCUACUUAAACCCUAGGUAAAUGUCAUUUACAAUUGAAAGGGUACUUUUACCAACCUAUUUAACAUUAUUCAUAAAUGUUCAAUUUCCAACUUGAUCUCUAAUGAUCAUAUCAUAUAAUACAAUUAAGAAUUAAACACAAAUAUUUAUAUAAUCAUGACAUUCAAUUUAAUUUUGGAGUCUACCAACUCAUCCAUAUUCGUUUUGACCCCCAUGCCUCGUUUCGAUGAACUUACAAGUUGGAACGCAAACUUUUUUCAAAAUACAAACCAUAUUCGAUUAUACCAUUAAUUUCAUAACAUUACUAAUUCCAUUUUCAGCAUUAAAAUCAUAUUUAUAGUUUAUAACCCUUAUUAACCUGACUCAGAAUGGGACGGAACACACUAGACUGGCAUCAAAGUGCAUUAUCAUAUUAGUUGAAAUAAAGGAAUCUGGCACAUAAAGUGUAUACUGGUGCACAAAGCGCAUAUUAGUACAUGAAGUGCAUCCUACCGCGUAAGUGCAUAAACUCCUACACAAUCCAAUCCUAUGGCUUGCCAACUAUAAAUGUACCACCAAGUCUAUUGUUUAGUGUACGGUUUGGCUAAUUUAAGCUCCCAUAAUCUCAAAUCUAUAAAAAUUACAAGAAAAGACGUUGAUUGCACUUACAGUUUUAUAGCUGAAAUCUUUAGGGCACAAAAAUGAUGGUUUCUCUUUUAUUUUUCUUCUUUGGCCGGUUGGAGAAGAUGAAUAUUUCAUCUCUCCUUCCACCAAUUUCUAUUUAUAUUAUGUUUUACUUUAAUUAAACUAGUUUAAUUAACUUAAGCCUUAAUUAUUUAAGCUUAAUCAUUAAUUAAGUUAAGCAAAUGGCAUCAUCCAUCAUCUCCCACUAACAUAUAUUUAAAAUAGGUAUAUUUUCUAUUUUAGUCCUUUGGUUAAUUUCUAUUUAAGUCCCCAAGUCUUAAUCUAAUUAAAAAUUAUAGUGAUUAAACUUUUACAAUUUAGUCAUUGAGCCUUAAUUUCUCACAAAUUUGGCUAAAUUACUUAACCAAAUUUUAAUUCAUUAAUACACUAACUCUGUAAAUAUCCCUAUUUAAUAUUUACGAAUUCAAUUUAUAGUAAUGAGAUUCUGAAAUUGCCUUUUCUGAUACCACUGAAAACCGGGUCGUUACAAAUAUAUAGUUCAUACAUAAUAGAACUCAAAUCUAAAACAUCAAAAUUUCAAUUUUAUCAUUUUAGACAAAACUUCAUUUGGAAAUUUAAAACAAAAUUUAAAUAUUAAAUAUAAUACUUAACAAAAAAAUUACAUUUUGUCUCACCCAUGAUGUUAGUGGAAGAAAAUAUUUUAAAUUUUUUUUCUUUAAAGAUGAUUUGAAGUUUGGAAAAACAAAAGCGUCAUCAUAAGAAUAUUAAUUAAAAUUGAAAAUAAGAGGUAUUUCUAUAAUUUCAUAAUUGAUUUAGUGAUUUGAUUAAGAGUGACAUCAACUCACUAAAGUAUCUAAAUAUAAGUAUUAGAUAAGAAUUUUGCUAAGUGAUAUGGUUACAACUAAGAAAUUAUAUGAAUCAUAUCUCAUCACACUACACCAAAAUAGACUUUUUCAUGACGUUUUAAAAAUGUCAUGGAAACAACACCAAGAUGUACUAAAAAAGAAUUUGAAUUUUCAUGAUGUUUUUGGUAAAACGUAAAAAAUGUCACGCAUUUACUGUAAAGAACGUAUUUGUGAUGUUUUCACAACACUUCUUCUUUCAUGACAAUUGUAAACAUCAUGAAAAGUCACAAAACGAAAUGAAAAACUACAUAUUUCCUUACAUUUCAAAAUGCCACGUUGACUAAUGAAAAUGUAACAAUAGGUUUGUACAUAUAGUAAAUCACCAUGGAAAAUUAGGGUGAAACAUCAUAAAAAGUUUCCAUUUUGUGACUUUUCGUUACGUCCCUAAGCGCCACAAAAAAUGGAGAGAAACUAACAUAUUUUUGUCUACUUGUGACAUUUAAAAAUGUCACCAAAAUUUUCAAACAAAAACUUUUGUUUUCCUUAUCAAAGGUAACUAUAGUUACAAAAGUGUCAUGAAAACUGUUACUUUCUGCGACACUUAUAUUUUGAAUAAAAGGGAAUGAAAAGAAAAAAAAAUGUCACAGAAAAUAUUCAGAAUAUAAAUAUCAAACGUCCCCAAAAGUCAUAAUGCAAAUAAAAUAAUGAAAUGAGCACAAAUACAUAAAGUCCACCUUACAAAAAUUAAAAUCAAGUACUAAGGUUCAAAUACUAAAACAUAAAGCUAAAAUAAAAAUGAAACUUUUAGUUGAAAUUAAGAUAAAAUCAUACAUGUGAUCAUGAAGAUUGAAGGGUAAAAUCAUGAAAAUUAUCAACCAGAUUGCAAUCUAGAGUCACGUCAGUAACUCAAACAUUAGAUUGAUGAGAUGAGUGAUCAUUAACAUGUUGUGAUGGUAGAAGGGUAAUUGUUCCUGAUGGCAUUUGUGUAGUAACCUUGGCUUGGAGAUCACAAAACUUUCGCCACAAAAUUGGUGGAGGGGGAGUCUCAUUUGUGUAAUCAACUUCUAAAAUCAAUUUUUAUUAGUAUUUAUUAUGACUAAGAUAUCUUUUAUGUCUAUUUUAUGAUUCAAGAAAAUUAAUGUUUUUGGGAAAAAAGAUUUCAUUAACAAUCAUAAUUAUAGUACAAACACAAAUAAAUAUAUGAGUAACCAUAACAUAUAAUUAAACUAAUAUAAAGCAUAAUGGAUGGAGAAUCAGAAAGAAUUGAGCAAUAUCCAUCCAUGAGCAUACACACAUGUUGGGACUAGAGAUCCACAUAUCGUGAACAUGAGUGCUUAACAAUCUAAGAUAUUUGCCCUAAUCAACAACACAAAGGCAUUAUUGGCCAUAUAUAUUGAUUUAACUAGUUCACAAAUGUCUUGUUUAAACAGGGGUGAAGUUAGAAUUUUUUUGAGGGGGUUCUAGGUUAAGUUAUACAUUUUUAUAAGAGUUAAAAUGUGAUUUCACAUUUGUAUUGGUUUAUAUCUUUACGUUUUUUGAAAGAACUAAAUCAAAAUUUAACAUUUUUAGUGGUCACACUAUAAUUUUACCAUAUAUUAUGAUUUUAUGAAUUUGGGGGUCUAAUUUGGAGGUCUAAAGCAUAAAUUCUCUUUUUUUGGGGGGGGGGGGCAUAACCUGUGUUCCCUGUCCUUUAUAUUAAAAAAAUUACAUAGGACCAAGGUGUUUUUGUUUUAAUUGAACUGGUUUCCCAGCCAGGUCAGAUUGGGAUAUCGUUUUCUUUUUAAUAUAAAUAGACAUAUAUCCAAUCUACCAAGAGUAUACCAACUAGUAUAUUUCUCUCAAUUUCUUCACAUUUCUUGAUUUUAUACAUAAACAUCCCAUCUCCAUCACAUUCUCAAGCCUUUUCAAUGGAGUUUUUAAUGAAAAUAUGUCUCCUUUUCCUUUGUGGCCUCAUUUCUCACUUUGUUAACAUGAUUUUCCAGAAGAGAAAUCAGCAAUGCUAUAUGUUGGGUUAUGAAUGUUUCAAGGCUGCCGAUGACAGGAAGCUCGACACUGAUGCGUGCGUGAAAGUUGUGUUGAGGAACAAGAAUCUUGGUCUGGACCAAUACAGGUUUCUUUUAAAAACCAUUGUUAGUUCUGGUCUUGGUGAAGAAACUUAUGGUCCAAGGAAUGUUAUUGAUGGUAGAGAAGAGUUUCCUUCGGAAAACGAUGCACAUGCCGAGAUGGACGAGAUCAUGUUCAGCACUCUAGACACUCUAUUCGAGAAAACAGGAGUUUCCCCGUCGGAAAUCGACAUACUCAUCGUCGAUGUCUCGUUGUUUUCACCAGCACCGUCGUUAACUUCCCGGAUUAUAAACAGGUACAAGAUGAGGGACAACAUUAAGUCCUUCAGUCUCUCGGGAAUGGGAUGUAGUGCAAGCAUGGUUGCAAUCGAUAUGGUGCAGCAGUUGUUCAAGACAUACAAGAACCAGUUCGCCAUCGUUGUGAGCACCGAAUCAAUCGCCAGGCAUUGGUACUGUGGCAAAGAGAAGUCUAUGAUGUUAUCGAAUUGCCUGUUCCGUAACGGUGGGUGUUCAAUCCUCUUAACAAACAAAAGGAACUUGAGGGAUCGAUGCUUGUUGAAGUUAAAGUGUACCGUAAGAACCAAUAUCGGAUACGAUGACGAAGCAUACGGAUGUUGCAUACAGGUUGAAGAUCCACAAGGUUACCAAGGUUUCCUCCUUACAAAAAAACUUAACAAAAGCUGCUGCUAAAGCUUUUACAGGGAAUCUCAAGCUCCUAUUGCCCAAAAUAUUACCAGUUUGGGAACUGCUUCGAUAUGCAAUAUCAACUCUCCGGAAAAAAUCAACCAAAGGCCAAAAUUUAAGUUUCAAUUUAAAUCUCAAGUCUGGGGUUGACCAUUUUUGUCUCCAUCCCGGUGGAAGGGCAGUGAUUGAUGGGCUUGGGAAGAGUUUGGGACUUAGUGAAUAUGACUUAGAGCCAACUAGAAUGGCACUAUACAGAUUUGGAAACACAUCAGCAGGUGGUUUAUGGUAUGUUUUGAGUUACAUGGAAGCUAAGAAGAGGUUGAAGAAAGGUGAUAAGGUUUUCAUGGUGAGCCUUGGAGCUGGGUUCAUGUGCAACAACUGUGUGUGGGAGGUAAUGAAGGAUGGUUUGGAAGAUACUAGGGUUUGGGAAGAUUGCAUUGAUGAGUACCCUAGAAAAAACCUGGUCAAUCCCUUCACUGAGAAGUAUAGUUGGAUCAAUGAUGAGUGCUUGAACUUUGUCAGGCUUGACGAUUAGUUCAAUUAAGGAAAUUGCAGUUCAUGUUUUUCUUUAAGGAAUUUUAAGCAAGUUGCAAUUAUUUGUGUGGAUAUUUGACAGGCAAAUCUGAAAGAUAUCCCUGGUGCUUACAAAUUCAUGUUUGGUUUUCUACCUUUGGUACUUUUUUUUUUUUUUUAUAGUUGCUGAUCAAUUGUUCUAUCAAGCUAGCUACUAGGUCGGUCUAUGUAUUCUCCAAAAGUAAAAAUAUUGUUCUCCUUAAAUAAAUAAAAUGAUUUUACAUAAAAUUAAAAUUAAUGUCAG